AUCUCUAUUGUUCUUCUUGGUGAAUUUAACUUUCUUUAAACACUGCCCCUGCCGAGUCGAAACAGACCCUAACUUGUUUUUUAUUGGCAACUCCUUUUGCUUGUUUUAAGUUUUCUCCUACCGCUGAAUUGGAGAUGCCAUCAAAAUUAACAAACGUUGUUUUCUAUCAGUUUUUAACUGGUAACAUAACCCACGUAGUCAGCUGGAAAGCAAGCGGGAGAUUUUAAAUUAACAGAAAUAACUCAAAAAUUGUUCCCAGGAAAAAAAAAAAAAACGAAGAAAAAAAGUUGAUGGACAUAUUUCAAAAUGGCUUGUAGUUUGAAGGUCUCCGUACAUAUAUAUGUGUACAAAGGUUCUUCUUUUUAGAAUUUGUUCUCUGUCAUUUGGUUUCUAGGGUUUGGGGAAGGACGGUAUUAUUUGCAUCGAGGAUCUCGUUCACGAAAUCAUGACUGUCGGGCCGCACUUCAAGGAGGCGAACAACUUCCUUUGGCCCUUCAAGCUGAAGGCGCCGUUGGGCGGGUUGGAGAAGAAGAGGAAUCACUACGUCGAAGGCGGCGACGCCGGAAACCGCGAGGAUUACAUCAACGAGCUCAUUAGGCGGAUGAAUUAAUCCAGAUUGCUGUGGCAUCUUUAGUGCUUGUUCUUGGGAGGGGUUUUUUUUUUAUUUUUUUAUUUAAUCUUGGAAUUGGAAUUAGACCUUUGCUACAUUUGCAGGUAGAGAACAUGAACAAUCUGCGAUUUUGCUGUUUUAGCAUCAACUAUUGGACAUGUUGUGGUCGCAGAAUGCUUCUGCUGCUACAUCUAUUUAUAUAUGCAUUUUAUUUCAUUGUUUCCAAUUUCAAUAUUUCUUGCAGAAUUCGCUCGCUUUCAGUUUUUCGACUUUUGUUUUGAAAAAUUCAGAUCUUCUUUGGAUGAACUUCACAUUGGAUUUUUGCUUAUUUCCAGUUUUACGGCCGUGUAGCUGUUUUGCAUCGUCUUUCUUUUGUUGCUUUGUCAAAUUAAACUGCACCUGCAGAGUAGGCAGGGGUAACUUCAUUGAACCGCAGAUAAGAUGCAGUUUGCUCCCCAAAGCUUUUUGAUUUUCAUAAUUUGGUAUUAUCUUAUCUUCUGUAGGUUUUAUCACCAUACACAUCUUGCUAUAAAUUAUAAUCAGAGAGUACGAUAAAAUUAUUGUGGUGAAAAUGACGGCGGAAACUAUCGCCGGAGAAGUUUACGCAUAAUGCCAAACAAGUCUUAGAUCUACUGUAAUUGACAAAGAUAGCCAUGUAGAUGGUGGGGAAUCAAAUCAAAUUGAGAUUCUAUCACUGAGAUUCUAGCACUAAGGAACUUGACAAAGAUCAUACUGCACCAAUUGAAAGGUCUUAGUAACCAUAAUAAAACUCCACAAAGACCAAAAAACAGAGACCUUGGCAAUUGGAAUGAAUGUAGGUUUUAACAAAUAAACAAGAAGAAACCUCGCCGCACCCAUGUUUUCAUCGCAACAUCUUAUCGAACUAUAUCUUUCCACUGGUUAACACAAACAAAUGCCAUCCUUUUUUGCUGUAAAUGCGCGACUGGCCACAUAUCAAGGAAAAGAACAAGUCCCAGAUGAUGAAAAGAAAAUGCUAAUAACAGAGAAACGGCCGCAAACUACUAAACCCACAAAAUUACUAACUAAUAUGAUGAUAUAUUAUUUGUGACCACUGGAAGAUCUGAAUAAAUAAAAUAAAGAUACUGAGAGAGUAGCGUAAAAUGUUAAGCAUCUCCUCUUUAAUUUCUAAUGAUACAACUAUUAAUAAGAUGUUCUGCUAAUUCUAUGGCAUUGGCAUUUCAUCCUAUUAAUAUGAUCUAGCAGAUUAAAUAAAAAGAGAGUGAGGGUGAAAAACAAAAAAGGCCAUCAAAGACCGUCAUUUCGACAUGCGUGUCGAAGUCCGUUUUCUAUGAUCUAAUUCAACUAAUAAUAGCAUGGAAAAAAGUUGUAGACAUACCAAAAUCUAUGUGAAUAAUGUGUGAGAAGAUGUUUAAUGGUGUUCAGAUCUCCCUUGCUUUCUGCCGAAUGGCCUGACGGGAGCUUUAGUUAUUGGAUUUGCAUCCGCUCCCCUCGAAACCGCUUCAGCUUUAUCGUUUCGAGGGACGAUUCUCAACGGAUGGGCUUCGGUGUUGAAGACCCACUCGUCUAAUGAGAUUAGCGACGGCGGGGAGAAUAAGAGGUAGAGAUACUUGAGAGUCUCCGCGAGGAAGAAGCUCUGCAUCAUGUUGUCUUUUGCACCUGUGUUGACCUGAGGGGAAAAAUAAAGGUUCUAUCAACUUAAAACGACAAAAUACCCGCAAAAGUUCGGAUUGCUUUUCAUUAAUGUUCUCUCCAACAGCUUCCCGCUGCAGCAAGAGCAGAAGAUUCAAACUAGAGCUUCUACUGAUGGAGUUUCAAAAGGCAAGGCAAAAACUCACCGUCUACAACCCGAAAUAGAUCCUUGAAUUUGACUUUCUAGAUUUGAACGCACAACUAAAAUGUAGUUUGAUUUAAAAAAAAUUCUGCAAGACGCCAACAACAUUUGAUAGAUACAAGCAAAAAGUAAGGAGUAGCAAAAUUUUCAGUCAGUUGGCAAAUACCACGACAAAAAAGUAACAAAAGAUCAUCAAAUUCUCCAAAUUUUUUUUGAAAUCAAACAACACUAGUCAAGGGUUUCAAAUCCAAAUACUUGGAAGUUCAGGGAUCUGUUUCGGAAGGACCGAUAAUUUGGUGGGUAUACACCCAUAGCGACUAAUGCUUAUGUAGAAGAAUAAUAUGUAGCUAAUUAACUCUAAAAUAGCAUGCAAGAGCUAUAAAAAAAAAAAUUCUAGGUACAAAAGCACUUACAUCCUUCAAUCCAACAUAACCCGACUCGAUCCGAGAGUUCUUCUCAAAUGCUUGGAAUAUGUUCCAACCCCACUCUUGGUAUGUUUUGUUCCCAGUAAGCCGAUAGAGAUACAUCAGCGACUCGACGGUCUCUGGUCUAAGUAUAUUCCACGAUGUGCCCACCGUCAUGUCCUGUAACACGCAUUUGAAAAUUAGUUUAAACCAUAUUUUUGACGCAUUCGAAGCUAAAUUUAUUACAAAAGACAAAAAUAUGCAACCUGUCCAGAAUGGAAAAAGUAAUUUUCUCCAGCUAAUUUUGUCGGAGUAGAUUGAUAGAAAUUAUAACAAGUCCAAGCAAGCUGCAAAAGCAAAGAGUCCAAAACCAAAGAGAAAAAUUAUGUUUUAACUUUGUCCUAUAUAUUACUUAAUUUUUUUUAAAAAAAAUGGAAAUAAUCUUCUGAAAUCUAUACCUCUUCUGCGAGUGAUAAAAUUUUCUCUCCUUUUUCAGAACCAUAACCGAAAGAUCCUAAAGCCAGCAUUCCAGGAACAAAGCACGCAAGCUCAUCCAUCUACAAGCAUUAAAAAUUAAAGCUAUAUACUUCAUGAAAAUAAUGAAGUAUUGAGCAUAAAAGUUCACAAGAACUAUGAAAUUGCCACUGAUAAAAGAGAGACAAAUUACCUUAUCAGACACAGAAACACCGUUCUUUUCACAAAUGUACGUGAAAGAAGAUGGAGUAGUUCUUCUAACUAAGCUCAAUAGACCCUCCAUUGAUGUUUCCCACAUUUUUCUGUAUUAAUGAAGUUGUCUAAUUAGCUCAGUAUUUGGUUUAUUAGCCACUGUAAAGACGAAAUAUCGGUAACAUAUAAAGUGCUUUAAAAAAAACUGGAGAUAAAAGAGACACCACAAUUGAAUAUAAAUUUCAAAUACUGAAAAAUUAAACCAAAAAAAAAAAAAGAAGCCUCAAACCUGUAAUGCUUCACAGGUUCAGUUUUGUUCCCUUGUAUCCAGGCUUUGAGUAAAUAUUCAUAGAAACUGCAAUAUAUUUACAUGCUCAGAUUUCAGAGUUUGGCAUUGAAAGCAUUAAAGCAUCAAAGUACAAGCCAAAUAAUAAAGCCAAGAAAAGAAUGAUCCAGAUGAGUAAGAAUUAAUGUAAAAAAGAACUAGGUCAUGAUUAAAAUAAGGAGAAGUGGUAUUACCUGUCGCCCAUGGCACCAAAUGUGAUGGUCGAAUACGAUGAAGAUCCUGAGUGAGGAUUUAUAUAUAUAGGAAGCAAACCAUCAUUCGGAAAUGUUUUCUGAAGCUGUCUGAUGACAUUUUCCGCCUGAAAAUGACAGUAUAAUAGCUUCUUACAAUAAACAAAAAGGAGAAUGAGAUCUUACUGAAAAUAUAGCGACUCACAAGUCGCUAUAACAUAGGAAUGUAUCACAUCAUUACACUUGCAAAUUUGUGCUAUUUCCAAUUUUACACAAUUUGUAAGGCACCUAAUAGAGCUUGCUAAAUGCAUUAACCAAUAACAUAGAAUAGUACAGACACAACCAGAUUUAUAGUGCAUUUUGAAAUGGCUUCUUGAAUAUUAGAAGUUCUGAUCUCAGUACCUGAUCUUUCACCAUUUCGUAUCUCACUACAUCUUUGUCAAAGCUUAAUGGUAUUUGUUGUUACAUUAUUUAUGAAUGCUACUGGGUGGAAUAUUCUAAGAGUUCUUGUUCUACAGAAACUGUAAUCAGAGUCCGCUAGAAAGGCAGGGAAAUCAGAAAUAAUGAAGGUGUUGUAUAGAAACCAAAGCUUUUAUGUUCAAGUAUCCAUUAUAGAAUGUGUAUUAUAGCUCAAGUGAUGUCAAGGCAAUUCUACUUUCCAGUAAAUAAUAGUUAUAUUGAUUUUUUACUUCAGAAUACAGUGUUAGACCUUGAAAGAGGAAUCCACCACAACUGUUACCAGCCUGUCCCAGCCCCAUCUAUGUAUUCAAAUAUCAAAAUGUCAAGUAGAUAUAUUGAUUAACUUAUUCUAUUUAAUAUUAAGUAACCAUUGCCUGGCCCAUCACUUGCCAACCGACCAAUUAAAUGAGUUUUUCCAGCCUACAAUCCAAGUGGAAGGGAAAGCAGAGGGCAACCAAGGAAAUAGCCACAACCCCUAACUUGAGAUAUCGCAACCUCAGUGCAUCAACCUAACAAUUUAAACACAUUUCUCUCAGCCAAAAAAAACUUAUUCCUAUACCCAGUUGGAUAGGACACUUCAGAUCCUCUGGCCAUUAAAUAUACUAAAUUAGAUAUAUAAACUAACCUAGAACAUCAUCAUCCUUAGGCGCACUCCAGAUCAGUAGGUCAAUAGUUUUGAACUCUCAAGUUCACACCAAAUAACAGAAAACAUUGAUGGUUCUUAGAAAGAAAAAGCAUUAGGUACAUUAAUAACCAUAAAACCAAAGUAGAGUUAGACAAGCAUUCAUGCACCCACAACAGGAGCCUCUGACAAAUAAAUCUAAAACUGUGCCAAACCAGUAAAAGAAGAAAAAAAAGAACCUUCUGCUGGUAUUUAGGAUCACCCGUCCUCUGCGAUAAAGCAAUGAAUUCAAGUUGCUCAGUACCUGAGUCAGCCAGGAUACUAUCUCCCUGGAAAAAGGCAAAAGCAUGUGAAGGAGGAUGUGACCAGUGAAUAAGGAGUAACGGGAUUAUACGGUGAUAUUAAAAUGCAAUGCUCAAAGAAUAUCAUGCUUGAAGGGGAACUACUCCAGUCAUAAUAAGAACAGUGAAAUUAAUAUGAUAAGAAAUUACAUGCCAAGAGGUACAUUUUCAAUCAAAUUAUCAAGCAUUGAUUGUCCAGGAAUGUCAACAUUAUUUGACACUUCGGUAUGACCACGCAUAGAAAUGAGGAUAAAUCUCUAAAUCGAAAGUUGCCAUCAUUUUACAUUGUUUAAACUCUUCCCAGUAGGUCACUCAAAAUUGAAUAGAAACAAAGGCAAUGAUCAAAAGAAUAUGUUAUUGCAUGACAAAUGAAACCAAGCAUAAGAUAAUAAGAGAAAAGGCAUUGAUAACAUACUCUGGUCCAUCCGGGAUUAUGAGCUUGGCCACGAGCCAAGUUAAUUCUGUUGUAGGGUAUGCCUGAUGAUGUAUCCCAUGCUGGUAGCAAUCUAUCAGCGAUGUCUUUAGCCUUCUCUAGAAAUACACCAUCGCCAGAGAGAUCAUAUGCACUUAGAAGUCCACCAACGACCCUGAAUGAGGAAAAACCAAACAUUUAGGAUCAGUAGCAUAAAAAAACAUACAGACUGUACAUAUAUUAAAGCACAUUUUCUAAUGGCACCCAAACUUUAAAAUUUUGUGUUUAGUUAGAACCUUACAAUAUGUCUAAUUUAAGUGCCUCUCCGUCACAACUUCAUGGCGUUUAACUUUGUAACAAAAUAUUCUGUAAGCUAAUGAAUAUUCGUUACUUGAUGGGAUAGUCUCAUCAUCGUGGAUAAAAAUUAUUAAAUAUUCACAGAAAUUGACAUGUAAAUGUUCUGAAACCGAACAAGCUCUAAGGUUUUUACUAAAAUCAAAAUUUUUGCCAUUUAGGUACCCAUCUUAAAACGUGUUAUAUUUCAGAUAAGGUUUAUAUGUUAUUACCUAAAUAGAAAAGUAGAAUUAACUGUAACCUGUAGUCCUACAUUCGGAGAAACCUUACCCAAUAUAACCAAUAAUCCAUACCUAAGUACCUAGAAACGAAGAUAAAGAAUCCAAAAGAUUAAACCUUAUAAAGCAACCUGAUGGUUGUCUCAAAAACACUUGCUUCAUAAUCCUUGUUGAAAUCUAACGUGUUCGCAACCCACCUGCAUUCAAGCAGAGAAUGGAAGUUAGACAGUUAUCAAAAUUGUGUGCUGAGAGUCUCGAUGUGGGAUGGCAAAAUGGCUUCUCCAUUCAAAAGUAUAAUAACUAGACUAUAUAAUCAUGUCUAGAAAACCAUAUAAAAUUUCAUGGGUAGCACUCAAAUGGAGAAUUUUUGGCACCAAACUACUAAAUUAAUAUGAAAAAGAAUAUGACUCACUCUCUAGCUUUUUGAAACUCAUCUUCCAGGCCCAUUAUGUAGAGUGUAUCCAGAGAGUCCACAAGGGUUGCUCCAAGACCACCAAAACUAUUGACACCAUUCUUUGAUUGUGGCUGUUCAUCAAACAAAGAAAUCACAUAAGCGCUAAUGCCUGGUAGGAUGUAAAAAGGGUAAAUUGCAACAGGGGUCUUCCAGACCCUAGAUUGUUAGGAGGUUUUGUUUGGUUGCUAACCUUUCAAUUGUACAAUUGGGUUCUUCACCUUUGUAUUUUGGUGCCGUUUGGUUAGCAGCAGUAAAUGUGUAUAUGAUUAGAGAUCUCUGUUUGCUGGACAUGCAAUAAUUACAACUACACCUAUUCUGCUUGGCUGAAUGCAACUGAGAGUGCUGCAAGGAUAGGUUUUCUAUUAGGUUGCAUGCAGCUGGAAGAUGCAUUAACAUUUCCUGAUUAUUAAAUGUAGGUUCGUGAGACUACACCUGGUGCAUAGCUAUUAGCCUCAACAGAUCCUGAUUAUUAAAUGUAGGGUGGUAAGACUACACCGAGUGCAUAGCAAGUAGUCGCUUUUAUUUGAGAAGUAGGCGGACGAGUGAGACUACGCCUACUGUCGAAUACUCCCCAAUUGGUGCGUUCUGGCUUGCACACAAUUUGGGUGUAGGCCAAGAUGCAGCAGUUGGCCCUUUAUCUAUAGAUCUGAUUUGCGGCACCUGGAAGCAACUACAAUGUGCCAAACCAAAUUUUUGGGCUUGUAUGCAGUUAAACCAGCAAUGUAGGUGGAGAUGUUAGCUACCUAUAGCCUCUUUAUUGCAAUCUUCCCUUUUUCGUUAAGUUCCCUCGUAAAAAUUGAUGGAAAUGCCUAUGCAAUUGCCAUAUGGAAGUCUAGAAAUCGUCUAUAUGGCAAUUUAGGUGGCAAAUGUCCAAUUUCAUGAAGGAAGUCAACUGAAGGGUUGCUUUAGAAUACAAUAUUAGGAAUGAAACUGUAACAACUGGAAGGAUGUAGGCCAAACAGAAACUACGCUAAAAUAUUGAGGACCCUUCGGUGCAAUUUAUCCGAUCAAAAGAAUUAAGAAAAAGAUUUAUAAAGAAGAUUUGCCAUCUUAUAACAAACCUGAAGCUCAUCUUGUCCCCAAGCAUAUUUCUCAUAAGAAUUCCAGGCAUGAAGCAUUGCUUCUUUGACUUUCUCUCUCCUUUCAUUGUUAAUGGAAUCAAUUUUGACGAUACUUUUGUCGAUCAUUUUAUCACUAGUGAAGUGUUCGUCUGGUUUCACCGAACGAUCCUCUGCUUUCCUCAACUACAGCAAAACAACAAAGUUUCAGAACAGGAAGCUAACCCAUCAUUAUGCCAAAAAAUAAAUAAAUUUACCAAAAAAAAAAAAUCAUGUCUAGCCAACGGAAAAACUGCACAGGGGGACCGCCUCAGCUAUACCCUUCAAUUAUUAUUAUUUUGAUUGAGACCCUCAACUUUUUACUAUUUUGUAUUUGAGUUAAUUUCCAGAAUUUAACAGGGAAUUAAUGGCUCUGUUCGCUAGUACCCGUUAACAGUUAGCGAAAUUCACAGCUCCAUCAAUUGAAAAAAGUAUCUUCAAUUUAACAAAAUCACAGAUAAAUUUGACAAAAUCACUGAUUUAAUUGAUGAAAAUCGAUCAAAAUAAAAAUAGUUAAAAGGGGCCAAUUUCAAAUUGUCUUAUGGUUGAAGAGGUCUCCACACACAUUUUUAUCUUUAAUAAUCACCAGUGUAAUACAAUAUAAAGCAAGGAAAACAACAAAAAAAUUGAUUGGGAAAUUGAGGAUACCUGAUCUUGUAGUCGAUUCAACUCUUCCUUCAAUUUUGAGAUCUCAGCCUACAAUCACAUUAAUAAAAUUCUUAGUUUCUUUAAGCAUAAUUUCCCCUUCAAAUUUAGUAGUUUACCCAAAAAGAAUAAUUAAAAAACAGUGGACAUUGAAAAGUAAAUGGAAAUUACAUAACCACGCGCGCUUCACAAGAAUCACAACAAGGUCACAAAAAUCUACCAAUAAAAGCGCGAUCUUUUCGAUUUCCAUUAACAAUUCACACUGUAAUCAAACGGAUCCACCACUCCUAGAAACCCUAAUCACACCAAGAACUAAGUAGAUCGGAGACGAAUCCACAAGCAGUGGCGAGCAAAGAUCCAAUCAGAUCGGGCCUCACCUCGUGCUCCCGAACUAGGGUUUGCCGAUCCCAGAAGGCGAAGUAGGCGAGGACGAAGACGACGAAGAGGAUCCCCAAGCGCCGCGGCCGCUUCAGGUAGUACGCCGGGUGGAGGACCCGCCACGGCCCCCACGACGACGACGACGACGACGACGACGACGACCUGCUCCGCAUCAUCUCCUCCUCCCUCCUCCUAUGGCGCCGUAGAAACCCUAACCCUAGAAUCGUCUCCUCCGCCGCGCGAGAGGAAAAGGUUUUCGAGGGAGUCGUCGCCUUCGUCGUCGUCGUCGUCGUCGGAGUCCCCACGGGUUUAAAAAGGAGGAUGUUCGUAUGCGAGCGUCCGCAUAGAAUAUUUCUCUGCGGACUCUCUGGGUUAUAAGGAGUAGAAAAGUCAACAUUAAUUAUACCCAAAAUUUUAAUUCAAAAUUUUAUUCGAAUCGGAAUACAAACUAUUCAAAUUUGAUUGAUAUGGACAAAUAUAAUUUUAAUUAUGAGUAUAAAAAAUAAUAAUCCGAGAGAUUUAAAUUCGGUUUGGAUUUAUAUUUUAAUACUUUAGAUUUAAUUAUGAUAUAAUUUUGAAAUUCGGCAAAGAGAAAUGAUUACAUUCGGAUUUAGAUUUUUGGGCUCGGUUUCGAGUUUCAUUUUUUUUUGUUUUCUCGAGGUUAGUUUUUGUUAUUGAUUUUUAAAACUCAAUGGCUUCGGGUGCAAGUUCAGUUUCAGAUAUAACAGUCGAAUUCGGAUGCGAAUUUUUAAAAACUAAUCCGAAUCUGACCGGUUGACAUCCUAACAAAUGAGUGUGGUGUCGGAGAAGCUCCGUGGACCCGAGUUAAGCAAUAAGCUUAUGAUUUUAAAAUAAAAUUAGAAUAAACUUUAAAUAUCAUCCCUGUAGUUUCGCACUUUCACUUUAGUAUUCUGUGGUUUAAAGUGUAUCAAGCUAGUAUCCUGUAGUUUCACUUUUAUCUUUUCGUCAGCUUUUUCGUUAAUAUUUCGUUAAAUUAUAUACAAAAAAAACUUCAGAUACUCCAUCUAGGUUUAUCGAAUAUUCACUUUAGUACCCUUUAAUUUUAACUUUGUCACUGAUUUAACGAAAAAAAUUAGAGAAUCGAUAAUAGAAAAAUAAAAAUAAAACUAUAGGGCACUAAAUUGAUAUACUUUAAAUCAUAGGAUACGAAAGUGUGAAAGUGUGAAACCACAUGAGUUAUAUCUGAAGUUUUUUUCUAAAAAUUAUUAAAAAUUACUAGUUAAACGUGACGGAGUAUAUAUUUAACUUGUUUUGACACAAAAAAUAACAAAAUACAUAAAACUAAUAAAAAGUUAUGAAAAAAAGGCCAAUUUGCAUAAAAAAUCCACUUAUUUUGGGCUUUUGCAAAACCGGACCACCUUUUUCAUUUUGCAGAUUCGGUCCGAAUUUUCAGCAAACUGACCAAAAUACCAUUGUUACUUUUUCUCUCUCCUCUUUCUCUCUCCUCUUCGUUUCUCUGGUUCUUUCUUUUUUUCUCUCGCCGAAAAAAGUAGCGAAGGCAAAGGCGAAAGCGGAAACGGUCCGCCUCACCUCUUACCCUCAUGCUCUCGCCCUCACCCUUGCCCUCGCCCACGCAUCCCCUACCUUCCUCGCCUCCGAUCCCGCCGACGCCGCGCCGCAACUUUUUUUUUUUUUUGCUUUUUCUUUUCUUUUCUUCUCCGACUCUCCUCCACCGUCUCCGACGACGACGUCUCUCUCGCCCUUCCCCGCACUUCUCGUCCCUCCCUUUCCCUCCUCUCCGCCUUCGACGGCGAUGCAACUUCGCUGGCGCCGACGUCGACACCUUGAAGGUCACUGCGGCGCUGCUGCCUCGGAGCCGGGGGUCCUUAGCGGCGUCGUUGCCUGCGCCGUGGCCAUUGACAGAGAUAGGCGACAAAAAAAAUAUAAAAGAAGCAACAAAAAAAAAUAAAGAUACAAAAUUAUAGAAAAAUAAGGAUGAAGAUAAAAUUGCAUCGUUAACUGUAAAAAAAAUCACUAAGUUGGACUACUUAAGAUGUAAACUGCAGCUUUAAGAUAAAAAUUACACUCUUUAAAUGAAAAUUACACUCUUUGGAAGAUAUUUAUAUUGUUUCUCCUCUUAUUGCACUCUUUCAGAUCUAAACUGUAUCCAUUAAGAUAAAAAUUACACUCUUUAAACGAAAGUUGCACUGUUUCUUUUCUUGUUGCACCAUUUCUUCUCUUGUUACACUAUUUUUUAUCUUAAACUGCACUCCUUUAAAAGAUAUUUAUACUGUUUUUGCUCUUGUUGCACUGUUUCUCCUCUUAUUGCAUUAUUUAUCCUCUUGUUACACUGUUUUUAUCUUAAACUGCAUCCUUUAAGAGGAAAAACCGUAUAACAAGAGGAGAAAUAGUGCAACAAAAGAAAACACAGUGCAACAAGAGGAGAAACAAUAUAAAUAUCUCUUAAAUGGGUGCAGUUUAAGAAACAGUGUAAGAAGAGGAGAAAUAGUGUAACAAGAGAAGAAACAGUGCAACUUUCGUUUAAAGAGUGUAACUUUCAUCUUAAUGGAUGCAGUUUACAUCUGAAAGAGUGCAAUAAGAAGAAAAACAGUGUAAAUAUCUCCCAAAGAGUAUAAUUUUCAUUUUAAAGCUGCAGUUUACAUCUUAAGCAGUGCAACUUGUAAUUUUUUUUGCAGUUAACGAUGCAAUUUCAUAUUCAUCCUUUUUUUAUAUAAUUUUUUAUCUUUUUUUUUCUCUUUCUUCUAUAAUUUUUUUUUGUCACCCUCUUUGUCAACAGCCACGGCGCCGGUGACGAUGCCACUACGGACUCUCCCGCUCCGAGGCUGCAGAGCGGCAGUGACCUCCACGGUGUCGGUGUCGGCGCCGGCGAAGAUGCAUCGUCGUCGGAGGCGGCAGAGAAGGAAGGAGAGGGAGAGACGAGAAGGGCGGAGAAGGGCGAGAGAGAUGUCGUCGUCGGAGAUGGUCGAGGAGAGUCGGAGAAAGAAAAGAAAAGAAAAAAGCAAAAAAAAAAAAGUCACGGCGCGGCGCGGCCUUGACAGGGGCGGAGGCGAGGAAAGUGGGGGUGUGUGGACGAGGGCAAGGGCGAGGGCGAGGGCGAGAGCAUAAGGGUGAGAGGCGAGGCGAACCGUUUCCGCCUCCGCCUCUGCCUUCUCUACUUUUUUCGGCGAGAAAAAAAAAAGAACGAGAAAAACGAAGAGGAGAGAGAAAGAGAAAGAGAAAAAGUAAUAAGGGUAUUUUUGUCAGUUUGCUGAAAAAGCGGACCGAAUCUGCAAAAAUAAAAAAGGUGGUCCGAUUUUGCAAAAGCCCAAAAUAAGUGGAUUUUUUAUGCAAAUUGGCUAUGAAAAAAACUUCAGAAAAGCAUCUAAUGAGUCUAUUAUGGUGAUUCAUUUUAUUUAAUUUUUUACUAUUUAACUAGUGUCUCUUAAUAAAGUUAUUAAUUUUUUUCUAAAAUAAUAUAUUUAUUAAUAAUUGUAAUGAAGAGAUUAACGAGAAAAUGAACUAGUUUAGUAAAAUCUAUGAAAAAUAGUACAAGAUAAAAAAAAAAAGAACAAAUUUAAAACACAAUAUAAAGAUUGAUAAAAUAUAAUAAAACAAUAGUUUCUUUGAGAAAAAAAAUUUAUUUCACCUAGUAAAUAAAAUAACACUAAAGUACAGAGCCAUUUUCAUUUGCUAAAUAAAUUAGUAACUACAUGGUCACUUUCAAGGUGUUUUAUUCUCAAAAUUAAAAAUUUAUAAAAUUUAAUAUCUCUACCAUUCUAGUUUUAUUUGCUAGAUAUAAAUUAAAAAUUUUUUAUUAAAAUAAGUUAAUGUUGAGGGAUAAAAUCUAUAUUUGGAAAAUAAAAAAAAUAAUUUUUCAUGAAAUCUAAAAAAAAAAUCUCAAAAAAGCUAGUUUUUUUUUGGCCAAUUUGCAUAAAAAAUCCACUUAUUUUGGGCUUUUGCAAAAUCGGGCCACCUUUUUCGUUUUUGCAAAUUCGGUCCACUUUUUCAGCAAACUGACCAAAAUACCCUUAUUACUUUUUCUCUUUCCUCUUUCUCUCUUCUCUUCGUUCUCUCGUUCUUUUUUUUUUUCGCCAAAAAAAAAAGCGACGGCCGGAGCACCGCCAGGCGGGCUUUUCUUCUUCUUCUUCCUGCAGGAGCAAUUUUUUUUCUCUUUUUCUUUUUCUUCUUCUUCUUCCUCCUGCUGGAGCUUUUUUUUUUUUUUNUCUUAUUCAGAAAAAUUUCUGCGGAAGUUCCUGCCUUUGAAUUAAAGGAAAUUCAUCGAUAAAUAAUGCUAUGCCCACUUCCAUAGGCAAAUUAGAGUAUAAUUUAGAUUAAAAUAAUUGAUUACGAAUAUUGUGUGGAAUAAAUUAUUAUGUGAUUUAUGUGAAUAUUCUGAUGAUGUAGCUAUUACCGUCUAGUUUUACUACCAUUUACUCUCUAAAAUAGAUAUAUCAUUAUUUAUCCUUCUGAUUUCAAAUUCCAGCAUGCAUAAUCUCAUUCAGAAAAAUUUUUGCGGAAGUUCCUGCCUUUGAAUUAAAGGAAAUUCAUCGAUAAAUAAUGCUAUACCCACUUCCAUAGGCAAAUUAGAGUAUAAUUUAGAUUAACAUAAUUGAUUACGAAUAUUGUGUGAAAUAAAUUGUUAUGUGAUUUAUGUGAAUAUUGUGAUGAUGUAGCUAUUACCGUCCAGUUUUACUACCAUUUACUCUCUAAAAUAGACAUGUCAUUAUUUAUCCUUCUGAUUUCAAAUUCGAGCAUGCAUAAUCUUAUUCAGAAAAAUUUCUGCGGAAGUUCCUGCCUUUGAAUUAAAAAAAAAUUCAUCGAUAAAUAAUGCUAUGCCCACUUCCAUAGGCAAAUUAGAGUAUAAUUUAGAUUAAAAUAAUUGAUUACGAAUAUUGUGUAGAAUAAAUUGUUAUGUGAUUUAUGUGAAUAUUGUGAUGAUGUAGCUGUUACCGUUCAGUUUUACUACCAUUUACUCUCUAAAAACUACCAUUUACUCUCUAAAAUAGACAUAUCAUUAUUUAUCCUUCUGAUUUCAAAUUCGAGCAUGCAUAAUCUUAUUCAGAAAAAUUUCUGCGGAAGUUCCUGCCUUUGAAUUAAAGGAAAUUCAUCGAUAAAUAAUGCUAUGCCCACUUCCAUAGGCAAAUUAGAGUGUAAUUUAGAUUAAAAUAAUUGAUUACGAAUAUUGUGUGGAAUAAAUUGUUAUGUGAUUUAUGUGAAUAUUGUGAUAAUGUCGCUGUUACCGUCCAAUUACGUACCAUUAUUUAUCUUUCUGAUUUCAAAUUCGAGCAUGCAUAAUCUUAUUCAGAAAAUAUUUCUGCGGAAGUUCCUGUCUUUGAAUUAAAGGAAAUUCGUCGACAAGUCUAAGAAUUUAGAUUUAAAGGCCAUGUGCAUAUUGGAUCUAUUGAUAGGCAAAUUUUUAGAUGGAAUUGGGGUUAUUGAUCAUUAUGUGAUGAAGACAACAAAUAGUUUCAGGUGAUCCCUUGGAUUUUAGUUAUUUAAUAUUUUAUUAAUUCAUCAUGCUUGUUUUGUUUAUUUGCUCCUCCUCUCUACUACAUGUCAGCAUCUUUUUAGCUGAGUAACCAGCUCAGAAGGCACAUUACUACAUCAACAUGCAUCUCUCUCUCUCUCUCUCUCUCUCUCUCUAAAGAGAUUGAGGAUAAAAGGAAAAAAAAAAAUAAUAGAACAAAGAGAAGAAGAAAAGCAAAAUUCCAAAAAGAUAUUGCAUGUUUAGGAGGUCAGAGGUUUGAACUUUCGAGUAUAUAUUUCAAAAUCUGAGAGUUUGAGCCCUUGAUAUUAUAUACUAUAGAUUUUUUACGGAUCUUCAGAGAGACAACUCAAAAGAAUAAAAUAAAAUAAUUUUUUUUUUUUUUUAACAAGCUCUCUCUCUCUGUAAAGAGAUUGUGGAUAAAAGGAAAAAAAAAAAUAAUAGAACAAAGAGAAGAAGAAAAGCAAAAUUCCAAGGAGAUGAUGCAUGUUUAGGAGGUCAGAGGUUUGAACUUUCGAGUAUAUAUUUCAAAAUUUGAGGGUUUGAGCCCUUGAUAUUAUAUACUAUAUAUUUUUUACGGAUCUUCAGAGAGACAACUCAAAAGAAUAAAAUAAAAUAAAAUUCUUUUUUUGAACAAGCUCUCUCUCUCUCUCUUUGAGAUUGAGGAUAAAAGGAAGUAAAAUAAUAAUAGAACAAAGAGAAGAAGAAAAGCAAAAUUCCAAGGAGAUGUUGCAUGUUUAGGAGGUCAGAAGUUUGAACUUUCGAGUAUAUAUUUCAAAAUCUGAGGGUUUGAGCCCUUGAUAUUAUAUACUAUAUAUUUUUUACGGAUCUUCAGAGAGACAACUCAAAAGAAUAAAAUAAAAUAAAAUUCUUUCUUUGAACAAGCUCUCUCUCUCUCUUUGAGAUUGAGGAUAAAAGGAAGUAAAAAAAUAAUAGAACAAAGAGAAGAAGAGAAGCAAAAUUGCAAGGAGAUGUUAUAUGUUUAGGAGGUCAGAGGUUUGAACUUUUGAGUAUAUGUUUCAAAGUCUGAGAUGGUUUAUACCCCUGAUAUUAUAUACUAUAGAUUCUUUGCGAGUCUUCAGCAUUAGAAAUAGAGAGACAACUCAAAAGAAUAAAAUAAGAUUCUUUCUUUGAACAAGCUCUUUGUCUAGAUUUUACUCUCAUCUAUCUUAGCUCUCUUUCUCUUACUGCUUUGUGAUAAAUAGAAAAGGACAAAAAAGGAAAAGUAAAGAGCAAAAUUACACUUAUUUCUCACUUAUCUCCUUCCUGAUAGCAAAAGAUCCAAGAGAGAAAAGAAAAGGAGAUGACAUAUAAUAAUGUAAAGGAAAAAAUGUAUAAAAUUUAUCUAAACUAUAGUUUGAUUUUACUAUUCAACCUUUCAAUUUAUUUGAUUUAAGUAAUUAGAUAGCUUUUCAAAUAUAAAAUUUAAGUUAAUUACUUAGUUUAAUGAAUUUGUAAUUUUAUAAAUUGUAUAAAAUGUACUAACUAAAUCCUUAAAAGAUAAAUGACGAAUUUAAAAUUUGAACUUAAAGAGUCACUAAUUGGCUCAAAGUUAAGUUCUAUAUGUUUUCACCUAAUUUAAAAUUUUAAAAUAAUUUAGAAUAAACCAACAUUCAUAUUGGAUUAACUCAAAAUCUAUUUGGAGUACUUAUGUUAUUUCAAUAAUUUUGAAAUAACCCAAAUAAAAAAGUUUGAAAAUUAAUUAUUUGUCUUUAUAAGAUUGUGUUAGAACAAAUACCGCACAGAAAUCUGAUUGUGAUUAAAGAUCUAACUAAUUUUUAUUAAGAAAAUAAAUAAAUCAACUUACAGAUGAUCGCUAAAUCCAAAUAAAUACUUAAUUGAUCCGGAAGCGUGCGAGGUAUUGCCCUAAGGCGUAUUCCCGUCCUUACGUGUGGGAUUAAUCGGAAAUAACACCCCAAGGUACGAUCCAAAUUCUUCCUCCUGCGAGCACGAUCGUGAAGGAGGUUGACGAAAACUCUUUCAACACCCGAUGACAAAAAGGAUUAAGAAAUUGAAUAGAAUAGAAAUUAAAAAUAUUUCUUUCUCUUUUUUCUUCUCUCUCUCCAAUGUCCAUAUUACAUGAACAAUGCAAGAGGCAGUAUAAAAAGUGUGUGAAACAGAAUGUUGGAGACCCCCAACAUUCUACUCCAUUAAUUAAUUUCAUUUAAUUCAAGCUUUAAUGUGAAAUAAAGGAGGAAUAAAUUAAAUUUAAUCCAUCCAAUUAAUUAACAUAGUAAAAGACAAUAAAUGAGAAUAAUUAUGAAAUUAAAUAAUAUUUAGAGAUUUUGAAUUUUUUACCAACAGAUUGAAAUUAAAAGUAUUUGUCCUCUAACUCCACAUCUACAUCAAAGUAACACAAUUUCCACACUACUAGAAACUUCUCCAAAUCUCCUCAUCACCACCCUCUUCAUUAUUUCACACAUGCGCCCCCCCNUCUCUCUCUCUCUCUCUCUCUCCCAUUCUACUUUGCUAUCAUAUUAUCACAAUCAACAUUUUGUCUUGUUUGACCCUCUUGAGAGUGUAAGCAUCUUCAUAUUGAAACCCUAAUUAUUUUUAUCCAUCUAUCCUUAUCUCUUAUUUUAGGUCAAAAGACAAAAUUAUGAUCAGUAUUUUGCUGGUUUUGAGGGUGUCUGGCCUAGAUUCUAGGAAGAAAUUUUAGAGCCAAAAGUAAUUUUUCCUUCAAUAGAGUAUUUUUCAAUCAUAUUUUUAAAAUCUAAAUAUGAUUCUUAGAAUCAAUUUUUUGAUUUUAGAGGCCUAAAAUCGGAAACAGAUAACACCUGCUUCUUGAAAUCUAAUUCUGAUUUUGAACUUUUAUUUAAAUUUUGAUUUCAAAUAAAUUUUAAAUUUAUUAUUUCAAAUUAUAAAUUAUAAAUUUUUAAUUUCAAAAAUUUUAAUUUAGAUAUUACAUUUUAAAUUUUAAAUCUCAAAAUGCUAAACUAAGUUAAACGUUCUAUAGCUUUCAACAAAAAUUAAUUCUCCAAAUCAAGAUCAAUUUUUGAGAAAUUACUUUUUCAAAAGCUAGACCAAGCACUCCAUUAAUUUUCAAUUGGCUUUGUUUCUAUUUUUACUUCUAAUUAACAGCAGUCAUCUUCAAUGAAGUGUUUAAUAAUUUUUAGGAAAAACUUCAAAUAUCACCUUUGUGGUUUCACACUUUCUCACUUUAAUACCCUGCGAUUUAAAGUGUAUCAAUUUAAUAUCUUGUGGUUUCAUUUUUAUCUUUUUAUUAUCUAUUUCACUAAUUUUUUUCGUUAAAUCAGUGACAAAAUUAAAACUAAAGGGUACUAAAGUGAAUAUUCGAUAAACCUAGAUGGGGUACCUGAAGUUUUUUGUAUAUGAUUUAACGAGAUAUUAACGGAGAAACUAACGAAAAGAUAAAAAUGAAACGACAUGGCACUAACUUGAUAUACUUUAAACUACAUGGUACUAAAGUGAGAACGCGCGAAAUCACAGGGGUGGUAUUUGAAGUUUAUCAUUUUUAAAGAGAAAAAGUGAUGCUUCUACUGCAAUAGAAAUCGAAGAGUAGAUUUUACGACCCAAAAGCUGAAGCUUUAAUUUGGUAUUUCUACUUUUGCUAUAAAAAAACAUUAAUUGAAAGGACACCAAUAAUACUAUUUGAGAAAUACUGUUAAAAAAUAGUAUUAUUAGAAGAAGUACUAUAAUCGAAACUUAUCCGACAUUUAGGAGACACUUCUGGUAGGAUAAAAAUUAUAAGGGCAUCAUCCCCAAACUACUAGUUUGGGGACUAUGCCGAUGGGCGCUGCGUGACCAGCGCGCGCCCACCACCGCCUCCCUUUCUUUCCAUUCUCUCACUAUCUCUAAAAUUUCAGGCGCACGAAAUUUUUUCUUUCUUUUUUUCUUAUUUUCGCCCGUGCAAUGGGCGCGCUGGGGCCACGCGGCGUCCAUCGGCAUCGUCCCCAAACUCGUAGUUUGGGGAUGAUGCCCAUACAAUUUUUGUCUCUUCUACAGAAUGAUAUGCCUUGCACAUUUUUUUUUUGACAAAACUACCCCUCUCCCAAAUUCAAAUUUUGCCAAAAGGGUCCUCAUCCUUGGACCCUCACCAUUUCUCCAUAUAGCAAUGUAUAUCUCUCAUGAUGAAUAGUAAUAACUACAUAUAAUGACAACUGAGUAUUACUGAUUUUCUAAAAUGCUAUUUCUAUGUUACAUAAUAUAGAAAACUUUAAUUGCAAGAAUUCAUAAGUUUUUUAACAUAUCAACUAUUUAUGGAGGACACAUCCACAUUCAUUCCCACUCCCAAAAUAUUAUGAAAGACACCAUCUCAUUAUUAAAAAAAAUUUUGAGGUUUUUGGAUUGGAUGCAUGAAUCAACCAAAGUUUUUUAUACAAUAUGCUUGUCACACUUCAACAAUCUAUCAGAUCAUCAUUUUUUUGGGACUCUUUCAUAGGUUUAGAUCUGCUACAAUUUCGUACACAAAAUUUUCAUGCACUCCGCUGAUCUAAACACGGUGAAUAAUUCAUCGUAUUAAAUUUAAAUUCUGAACAUACUUACGUGAUGCUUGCGUAACAUUUGUGUUGCCGGAAUAGAGCCAAUCUAACAAAAUAAAUUUUGUAAAAUUAUUUGUGAAAUUUUUUUAAGGGAACUAAAAGCAAAAAAAAAAAAAAAAAACCCUAAGCGACUGUUUGGUUCGGGAUUAGAGGGGAUGCCCCCUUAUCCCCAAACACCUUUUUGUUGGGGGUGGAGUUUGUUAAUUCCACCCCAAAAAGGUUAUCCUCGAGUCCCAUGGAACUAAUCCCACCCCAAUUUAAUUUUUAAAUUUAAAUUUAAAAUUUAAAAUUUAAUUUUUAAAUUUAUAUUUAUAUUUUAAAAUUUAAAAAUUUAAAAAUUUGUAAGCUUAAAAUUGAUAUUUAUAAUUUUAAAUUAUUAUUUUUAAUUUUAUAAAUUUAAAAUUUGAUAUUUGAUAUUUUUAAAUUUAAGUUUAAUCUUAAAUUUAAAAUUUAGAACUUCAAAUUUUUGAAUUUGAAAUUUAAAAAUUUAAAUUUUAUUUUGAAUUUUUCAAUGUUUAAAAUUAUAUAUUUAAAUUUAAAAUUUUAAUUAUAAAAUUUAAAAUUUUAAAUUCAAAUAUAAAUGGCAAUAUCAUUAUUUUCUAUUUAUAACCACCCACUAUUCUUCUUAUUCUAUCUUUAUCUAUCCAAACACUAUUUUUCUUAUUCUCGAAAACAACUCAUUUUUUCACCGUCCAAAUGUAAAUUUAAUCUAUUUUAAGCUUAAUUCUGAACUUAUACUUUUUCCUAAAGUAAUUAGUUCUUACUUAACGCCGAACCAAACGGAGCCUUAAAAUAGUAAUAACAACAACUCCCACACCCACCGACCUUCCCUAGAGCAAGUGGCAAAGGGCUUGGUGGUUCGUACCUGAGAUUCCAAGUUUGAAUCCUAGUUGAGUCAUAUGUCCAGCUAAAUUUAUUUCUAAAUAAAAUAAACGAAGCGGGUAGCGUGUUACCUAUCUUUCNCCUAAGUUCGAAUCCUAGUUGAGUCAUAUUUCUAGCUAAAUUUAUUUCUAAAUAAAAUAAAUGAAGCGGGUAGCGUGCUACCUAUCUUAAAAAAAAAUAAAAAUAAAAAAAAAACUCCCACACUCAUACACUCAUUUAUUAUAGAUUUUAAGGUUAAGAAAAAACACACACACACACACACACACUCCCUCUUCACCCCUCUCUCUCUCUCUCUCUCUCUCUCUCUCUUUCAUGGCCUUCGCUCCACACCACUCCUACCCCAAAACCUCCUCCUCUUCUUCUUCUUCUACUUCGCCAUCCCAAACCCUAACCCUAACCCUAACCCACCUCCCCGACGACCCCCUCCUCUCCAUCCUCCGCCUCCUCCCGGCCCCCUCCCUCCUCGCCCUCUCCGCCACCUGCCGCCGCCUCCGCCGCCUCGCCGCCGCCGACGCCCUCUGGGAGCACCUCUUCCGCCGCGACUGGGGCGACGCCGCCGCCGACGCCCUCCUCCCCUCCUCCUCCUCCUCCUCCUCCUCCUCCUCCGGCGACGGCGGCGGGAAGCGCCGCGGCGUCGCGUGGCGGCGCCUCUACCAGCAGGUCUCCCAGCUCGGCUCCCUCUCGUGCCGCCGCCUCUCGCUCAGCGGCGGCGGCGGCGCCUCUCCGCGGCCGAGGGCCUCGCUCUCCCUCAACUUCGUCGCCGGGUGGCUCGUCCUCUUCGGCGGCGGCUGCGAAGGAGGUGAGGAGAGUAACUCAUCGGGGUUCUCUCAAUUCUCUCAUUCCAGUUGUUCAAUUUGCCUAUUUUCAUGUAUUGGAUCUGCUCUGCUCCUCUUAGAUAGAGAGCUGCUUCUGAUCUUAGGGUAAGGGUUUCAAGUUCUAUUGAUCAUUCCUAGUUUAAGAUGAACUAUUAGGAAGGAGUUUUAUAUAUGAAGUGGUUAAAAACCACUCCUUUGUUUCACUUAGUAUCAGAGCAUCAGAUCACGAGGCUUAGUUUUAAGUCCUUUUAGGCUUGAUGUUUUGUGCUUGCCAAAAAAGUUACAAGUCCAGAUGCGAGGAGAGUGCUGAAUAUAAAAAUAUAAAAAUAUAAAAAUACGUUUCUCGAUUAAGCUUUUAGAGAAAAUUGGUUGUUCGACAUAGAGUGUAAAGUGUAAAUUGUACACUACUCAUGGAGAUUGAGUGUGGUAGCAUGAUCGAGAUUAGCCUAAUACUUAUUAAAAUACUCAGUUAUUUUUUCUUCUGUUUGUUCUUAUUAUUCAGAAAGGGUCUGAGGGGAAAAGUAAGUGUUAGGGAUUCGUCAUCGAAGGCGAGUGCGAAGGAGUUCAGUAUUAGGGUUUAAUUGGUGCAUCUCCUAUGUAGAAAGCAAUUCGAACCUUAGGGUUUCAAGUUUUAUUUAUCAUUUGGUAUUCCUUAACAAGAGUGUAUUUCAGUCUAGUUGUUAUCUGAAUGGAUGUUCUUGUCUGCCUAAUUCUUAGCUUUCUUGUAGUGUAGCUUCUAUGUCCUCUUUUCUGCUGAAUAUGAUACCUUCCUUGGUGGGUGUUGAAUAUGAAUAUUAAAAAUGUUGUUCUCUACCAACUUAAACUUUUGGUGAAAUAUGGUUGUUUGACAUAAUUUAAUAUGAUAUCAAAACAGGAGGUCCUGAGUUACAAGUCUCCGUCAGGCUUCUAGCAUUGUUAAUUUCCUCCCAUUUAAUUUUAAGUUUACGUCUUUAGUCUAUCAAAAUGGCUCGAGCCCAGACGUGAGAGGGAAUGUUGAAUAUAAAUAUUAAAAAUACUGUUCUCUGCUAGCUUAAGCUUUUGGAGAAAUCUAAAAGCCAUCUAGAAGGCAACUGGACAAUUGAAGAAUCACCAGAAGUAGUCAUUUAAAUAGUGACCAAAUGAAUCUUCACAAUUACGAUGAUAAAAUGUUAUUCGGUUUCUUCAUUUUUACUGGUUCUUUUUGGUAGUUCUUGUAGGAUUAGCCCAAUAUAUCAAUUUUAAUGUGUGUUAAGACGCGAUAUAGCAUAAGAGAGAUAAAGUUGGGUUCGCAUCUCAGAUGGUUUACUUUUUGAAUAGCAUAUGCUUCUCAACAUUGCCCUAUUUUUUGGUCACAACAUUUAUAAGACAUGAUAUUCAUAACCCUGGAAAGCCGCCCUCGAAAUUUAUCAGAUUGAUAUAUGCAUAUAUGUUCUAUGAUAUCUGAGCUAUGUUUCAAUUAUAGAACCGACUAUUUACGUGCAUUCGAAGCCAUUUGGCGAUAUAUUGCUUGCAUAUUUAUUCUCCAUACGAAUAAAUUUCUGUUGAUUUCACGUGUAAAUCUUAAGAAACUGCCUAAGCAAUGCCUGAGCAGCCACCUACGCAGGGUUGGCAGUGCUAAGGUGAUUGCCUAGUGUUCUGCAUGCAAAAUUUAUGCCAUGCAUGGUGUCUACAUGAUAUUGUCAAUUGUAUAAUGAUCUAAUUUUGUUUUCGUAACUUAUUGGGUCACAAAACUAGUUAGCAAAGAAUAGUGUUCCACUGUGAGUUCAAAUUGAGUCAUUGUCUACCCAUUUCCAUUACUUUUAGAUGAACUCGCUAAUUCUCUUUAAACUGAUCAUUUUAGUCGUUGUACUCAUAUCAUGUUUGUGCACCUCUCCCUGUUGUCUCUACAGCAUCAUAUGAUCUAUUUGUACAAAGUUGUUGAUUUGCUUACUAGGAAGAGAAACCUAACAUUCUGAAGUAGGACCAAGACUCAGCAUACUAACAGCAAUUCUGAGAGAGAGAACUAGUUAGUCAGUAAACUUAAGAAGUAAAUGGACUUGUGGAUUUUGACAGCAGAAAGAUUUAAAAUUUGAGAACUUAUGUUACCUUUUAUGGAAUAAUUUAGCUUUCUUUUUCAUACGAGGUGGAAAUUCUCCAAUCUUACUAGCAUAUCUUUCAUUUACUCUGCCUCUUGUAAUAUACCACCUGUGUUCCUCUUUAGGACGGCAUCUCGAUGACACAUGGGUGGCAUACAUCGGCAACGGAUUCGAUCGAGUACUUAGUUGGCAAAAACUUAAUUCCGGCAUUCCAACUGGUCGUUUCGGACACACUUGUGCUCUAGUGGGGAACUGUCUUGUCCUCUUUGGUGGCAUCAAUGAUAGUGGAUUGAGACUAAAUGACACGUGGAUUGGGGAAAUCGACCUCAGACGUCCUCUCGAGAUCAAUAUAUCAUGGCGGCUGCUUGACGUGGGCUCUGUCCUGCCUCCACCCCGCGGGGCCCAUGCAGCGUGCAGCAUUGGCGACCGCACCAUGGCGAUCCACGGUGGGAUUGCAUUAGACGGUCGUCGACUCAGCGAUACAUGGCUUCUCGACUUGUCGGAAGGAUUAACAUCUGGGAACUGGCACCAGCUACUGAAUCCUUGCCCUUCACCUCCGCCACGCUCUGGCCACACGCUGACGUCGAUCGACGAAACCCUAAUGGUCCUCUUUGGCGGUCGAGGCUCAGGAUACGAGGUGCUCAACGACCUAUGGCUAUUUGACGCCAGCAAAGGCUAUCCGGAGUGGAAGGAAAUCUAGUAUGAAAUUAUUAUUGGUUCUUUUUCAUAUAUAACUCCAACAAAUAUCCAAAAUUAUGCAAAUACCCGUAAAGUUGGUAGGAGGCUAUUUGUGCAGAACAAUAUCUGCAGAUAUAACUCUGUGGAGCCAUGAACGAAAAAAAAGCAUACAACUUUUAGAGAAACACACCCUCAAAUACCGACUUUGCAGGGUUAUUUGCUCAAUUCCACAUAUUGGCAAGGGUCUAUGUGCAAAAAAAAAAACGAAAACCCGUAUACUGUUAGCAAUUUAUUCAAUGUUAAAGGAAUUUUGAAGAUUCUUUCUUCAUUUUCUUUAUGAAAGUUUUAUUUUUUCCAAAAUGUGUCCUAAUUUUUUAUCUAAUUUUUCAGCAUGCUCGACGAGAUGCCACCCCUACCCCGAGUUGGCCACUCUGCGACUCUCAUUCUAGGAAGCAAAAUCCUCAUAUACGGCGGCGAGGAUUCGCAGAGGCACCGGAAAGACGACUUCUGGGUAUUAGAGGCGGCCAAUCUAUUGAAACUUCGACCGGAUUCGAUGAAAACACGAAAGAAGAUGUGGAAAAAGCUCUCGGUCGAAGGCCAAAGCCCUAACUGCCGGUCGUUCCACGGAGCGUGUGCCGACCGAUCCGGUCGCUACGUCUACGUGUUCGGGGGGAUGGUGGACGGCGUUGUUCAUCCGGCUGAAGCCUACGGAUUGAGAUUUGACGGGGAUUUGUAUCAGGUGGAGCUCAUGCUGCAGUUGUAGAAGUAGGAAUGAGAAAGUGUUUUUGUAUCAGAUAAAAAGGAGUUGUCAAAUAUGUUGAAUCAUGUUGUAUAGAGAAUAAAAGUACUCUCAUGGUGUACUUCUUUUUACUGAUGCAUAUCUAUUCAGAUAGUCAAUUAUUUUAGGGUAAAAAUGCACAGAACUUACCUAAACUGUGAAUCAUUUUUGUGGUGGCUAAUAAAUUUUUUAAAAUAAUUUACUGUUCAAUCAUUUAAUUUGUUUGGUUUGAACGUGUCAAUGAUAAUUUUGAAUGCGUCGUUUAUUGUAACAUGUUUAAUUAGUGCAAUUCAUGUAAUUCUUGCAAUUAUAAAUUCAUUGAAAGAGCUAAUUGGUUUGAAUUUUAAAGUUAAAGUAUUUUUUAUUAACUCAAAUCAAAUAUAUUAAAAAAUUAUAGUAAAAAUAAAAUUUUGAUAGAUGGGAUAAUCGAUUAAAAAUAGUCCAUAAUUUAGGUUGUGUUGUAGUUUUUAAUUGUUAGAAAAAGCUGAUUUCUAUUUAAAAUGAACUUUUAAUCUGUUUGAGGUAUGUUAAAAUAUUUGAAUUACUUCACAAGUGAAAGUAUAAGUAUUUACUUUAUGAGAAAAAUCAAAUUAUUUUGGUGAUGUAGGAUUAAAAUGUAGAGCAUAAGAAAGUACAGAGAUUAAAGUGCUUAAGUGAAAAGUAUGGGCACCAAAGUUGUAAUUUUUAAAGGACAUUGUGGGAACAUGUCACCUAUUAUUUUAUCUUAUUUUAAUGUGACUAAAUUGCAGGAAACACCACGAUAAAUUUCAUCAUUUUCGCACUUUGCCCCCCUCUUAGAAACUAAUAUAAGUUUCCUCGCACCACGAGGUUUUCGGGUUAAAUGUUAAGUUUUAGAGUUUCAACAUAAUGUUUCAUUAUAAAAGUCGUUUUUGCUUCUUCCAACCACUCAACUCAAACAAUGUUGCAUUGUCCAGAAAAGUUAGGUCAGAUGUAUCGAUUGAGCCGAUUUUACUUAAAAUUUUCGCACUUUAGCCCUCUUAAAUAUUGAAACUAAUAUAAGUUUCCUCGAAUGACGAGCUUUUUGGGUUAAAUGUUAAGUUUUAGAGUUUCAAUAUAAUGUUUCGUUAUAAAAAUCGUUUUUGCAUCUUCCAACCACGAUCAACUCAAACAAUGCUGUAUUGUCCAGAAAAGUUAGGUGAAACGUAUCAACUGAGCUGGUUUAUUGUAACUGGAGUGCUUUUUGUGUUCAUUUCGUCCUCGUCGGUCGUGCCUGUCUUGUCGACUCGGCUCUUCUUUGUAUUCUCUGGUUUGUGCCAUUGUGCAAAACACGUUACAUGUUGUUCCUUCGUUUCUCAACCGCUAAUAGCUCACGAAAUCGCGCGUCGGAAUCACUUUUACUGACUCUAUUAAUUCAGACGACUGGACAAGCGCUAUAUAGAUUUUUCGCCAAAGCAACAUUACGAGCUCUACUGAAAUUAUUCAAACGGCAUGUUUGCAGAAUCGCGAGAGAACUACAAAGAUGGUCCCAAAAAGGUCUCUAUUCAUUGAACUAGCACUUAUGCAUAUAAUGGAGAGCAUGGGAACAAUUGAACUUUAGCUCAUCAAUAUUAAAUGCUUUUGUUUGUGUUCAUGCAUAUGUGAUAUUUAAUGCAAGAGCCAGGCAUUUUAGGAUUGGUGUUGUUGGGGAAUGAUUGUCGGAUAAUUGUGGUCUCCAUCACAAAAUGGUCCCCCUUAGAAUUUAUUUGUUUUUUUCAUUUUUAUUAGGGAUAAUAUCUAAUAUAUUCUUGAAAAAUUACAAAAUUUCUUAUAUUUUUCUAUUUUUUUGGUUUCAAAUAUACCCCUGGUAUAUUUUUUCGUUAUUCAAAAUUAACUCUGCUAUUAAUAUCCAUUAAGUCAUCUCAGGUUAAAUUUGGAUUAAAUUUCUAUCCGAGUUUAAAACAGUUCAAAACACCUCUUUUCACAGUAUAAGAAUAUAUUUGAAAAGAUAAAAAUUAAAAUAAGAAAAAUUGUGGGGAUCAUAUCCCAAAAGUACGUGCUGCUAAAAAGAAGGCACCCAUCGCACUUAAGGGCUCAACCACAGUGCUCAUGGGAUUUGAUCUGACUCAACCCACUUGAACGUUAGGUCUAUUAUUUGGCCUUUUGCUGUUAGGUCUCUUAUGGACCGCAGCCCAACUCAAUUUAUUAAUCUCUUGUGCUUAUUGUCAUGGGACAGAAAGUUGGACUUAUUUUAGCCCAAUAAUAAAUAGCUAACAAAUUCGUAAUGAUAUAAGGAUAUAUUCAAAAGAGCAAAAAAUAGUAAUUUUACAUAGAUAACGGCUGUUCCUAACAGUUCACUAAUAGAAUUUACCUCUAGGAGUAUAUUUGAAAUAUCUUGAAACGUUAAAAAAUAUAUUUUUAAUAUUAGCCUUCUAAGAGGGAUAAAUAAAAAAAUUAGAAACUUUUUAGGAGUAUAAAAGUAAUUGCACCUUAUUAUUAUUGGAUAUUUUAAUUAUUAAAAAAAAAAAUAGAGAGAUCUAAAAAUUGACAGACCUAAUGCAAUGCACGCUUUAUACAACAUAAAUUGAAACUUUAAAAAGUAAGUUUAUAUGUGUAUUUUAGUAACUUGAUUAAUUUUAUUUGAUUAUAAUCAUGGGAUAUGGCAAAAAAUUAGACAGUAUUAUGGUAAAUUUAAUUAAUUUCGGUGUAUCUAUUAAGGAUAAAUUAAUUUAAAAACUUAUAAUUUAAUUUCAGUGAAUUUGACUUAUGCUAAACUAAAUCUCGGCCCGGCAUGGCACAACCUCGGCCCUGCACGGCCUAGGCCCGUUUCCGACGAUCGAUACAGUGCCGGCUAAUAGGCCCAAAUAUACUAGUCUAGUACGCAAGGAUUUAAGUAUCGCACGGUACGAGCAUGUAUCACACGUGUCGUAUCAUACCCUUAUACAAAACAGCUCGUGGUACGUAGUGUAUUGUAGAGAUUAUCGUAUCAUGAUACAUGUGCAAUACCAUAUGAGAUAUUGUGAUACGUGAGAUGUGCCACGAUAUGUACUGUAAUUUAUCGCUAAUUUAUUUUUUUUUAUUUUGUUAUUCCUUUCUCUCCCUCUUUUUUAAUUUAGUUAUCAGAUGAUUCUAAUCUUCUAUAUUUUAGAAUCUAAUCUAAUCAAAUCUAAAAUUUUCUAAUCUAAUCUAUAAAAUUAAGUCAAAUUAAAUCUAAUCUAAAAUCUAAUAUAAUAUAUGUUUGUAUUUAUCUAUCUAUUGUAUAAUUACAAAGUCUAAUCAAAUCUAAUCUAGUAUUAUCUAUUAUAGUAUUAAAUAUAAUAGAAUAUAGCUAAUUAGAUUUGAAUUACGUAAUUUCAAAUUAUCUAAAUUAAUCUAACCUAGUUUAAAAAUUCUAAUAUAAAAUAAAGUUAAUCUAAUAUAAAAUCUAAUUUAAUCUAUUUAAUAUUUAAGUUUCCUAAUCUGAUUUAGUCUAAUCUAAUCUUAUGAACAAAUUAAUAUAAUUUAGAAUUACUUAAACUAUGCUAUUCCAAUCUGGAAUAUGUUAAUUACCAUAAAUAUAAAAUAAUUUUGAUUUAGUAUUAUUAGAUAUAUUAGAAUUUAUAGUUAGUUAUAGCAGAUUAUAUAGUCAAUUUAAUUUGAUAAUACCAGUAAUAUUUAUACCAAAAUAUUCAAAUAAAUCUUGUAUCAAUAGAUGAUAAUAUGCUAUAUAAUCCAUGCAACGAUUUAUGCAGAAUUAAGCAGUUAUCUCUUUAUAAAAAUAUAAAUUUAAAUAAUUAUUGUACUUAUGAAUUUUAUUAUUAUAUUUUAAUUUCUAUUCUUUAAGACGUAUAAUUAUAUUUUACUAUAAAAAAGCUUAUCUCUAUAUUAAUUAGGCUUAGUUUGGUAUUGAGACAUAUUUAAAGAUAAAAUAGAGUUAGGGUAAAAGUAUAUUGGGAUAUACUUUUGCGUUAUUCGGUAGGACCGUAGAAAAUAUAUUAUAGCCAACUAAUCUCGAUAUGGAGAACACAAUAAUACGUACGGAAACAAAUAGGAUAUUUUUUCACCGCACGUAACGUAAUCUCCCUGCAAUCUCAAAUAAAGCCUUAGUAAGUGCAGUAAGUUAUAUAUAGUCAUUAUUCAUAAUUAUUAUUCAUAAUUAUACUAAAUCUUUCAAAAUAUAUUAUAAAAGUAUAUUGAGACCAAAAAAAUUAAAACACUAGGAGGUCAUGUAUAUCCAUCGACACGUAAGCGUACUAUGUGUUGGCACGGAGACGUACUACAUAUCCAAUGAGGUAACCUGACUUAAUCAUAUUCAGAUUAGAAUUUGAUAUUAGGUAAAUGUUAAUCCUAAUAGAUAAAAUAAUACUUUAUUUGGCUUUAUCAUAUUUGUCUACUAUCUGUUUAGAUUUAAUAGAAUCCUAAUUAGAUUAUGAUUAAAAAUCAAUGAACUCUCUAUAUAAAGUGAUAUCAGUCCUGUCAUCCUUUUCUGCGUACGUUAUAGUAAAUAAUAUCUAUAUCUAUAAAUUCCACGAAGUGUCAGAGAUAUGAGACACCUUCCGAACUUCUCGCUUUUACAGAUUGAUUAAAGUUUUAUUCUCUGUAGUAUUCUGUAAGUACUUCUAUCUUCUUGUUUAUAAUUUUCGGUAUCGAUGUGUUUUCAAGAUUUUUUUGUAAAUUAUUAUAUAUACAUAUCAUGAUGGUCUUUUCGAAAGAAAAAAUUUUUUCUUUGUUUUUUUAAUUUUGUCUUCUUCAUUUUCUUCCACCUCUGCAUCUUUUUCUGCUAUCGCGCCCUUUCUCUCACCUCUACCGCAGCGGCCACUCCGCUCCAAUAAGUUUUCCCUCCCUAUCGUUCUCAAAUCCUAAGACACCCUUGUCGCCAUCACAGUUAUCAUUCAUUAUCAUGCCUUUUGCCGUAGUUUCACCUUCGCGAUUUGUGUUAUAUCCGAAUCAGCGCCGGCAGAGGUGUCGAUGAGGUAAGAGAGAGGUGCACGGCAUCAAAGUGGAGGCUGUGGAAGAGGAGGAGAAGGGAUAAGAAGGAGGAGGAGAAAGAGAGAAAAAAACAGCAAGGAGGUGGGGGACCUAUAUAUAUAUAUAUAUAUAUAUAUAUAUAUAUAUAUAUAUAUGUUUCUUGAUGCAGCCAUAAAUCAUUUAGUUAUAAUUUGUUUUAGUCGUUUUUAAGGUUUUUAGGAUCUUUUUUCAUAUGAAAUAAUUUUUUUGAGAUUAGUGAUAGACUUUAGGGCCGUUUUUAGAUAUGUUUAGAUUAGAAAAUUUUUUAAAAUUGAUAGAUUUGUUUUAGAUUAGGAUCUUGAAGGCCACAUAUAUAGUCUAAGAUUUGUAGUUAUUGGAGAAUUUUAUUUUAGAUUAUUAUAUUUAGUUUUAGAGAAGUUCCCAUGCUAUUUUGGACCUUCUUUUUUGUAAAUAAUUCUAUGAAAAAUUUUAGAGAAGUUCCAAGAUUUUUUUCGGCCAAUUAACUCUCUUCUUGUCAACUCGGUGCUAGAAAGACAGUUAAUCGUAUAUUCGUUUACUAACUUUAGAAAACGGUAAAUCAUUCUCCGUCUUUAGAAAACGAUAAAUUAUUCACUAUUUUUUAGAUUGUUUCUGUUUUUUAUAGAUUUUUUUUUUAAUAAGGAUUAUGAGAAUUUUUAUGAAGUUUUUAGGAUUAUAGGUAAAUUAUUAGAAUUUUUAUUUGAUUGCUAGGAUUGUAUAGAUAGGUUGUUAGAAUAUUUUUUGAGUUGUUUGAGUAGGUUGUUAGGCUGUUAGGAUUAUAUGUGAUUUAUUAAAAUUUUUAUAUAAUUAUUAAGAUUAUAUAUAAAAAGUAAAAAAAAGAUAAAAUUUAUACCUAUAUUUAAGAUGUAUAAAUAUCUUUUGUUUUUUUAGCUACAUCUUAUGUCUUUUCAAUCCUAUACCUUUUCAAUCCAUAGCUAUCAUUUCAUUACUUAUCACAUCAACUAUUUUUUUACUAAAAAUUAGUUAAAUUUAUAUAAAUUCUAUAAUAAAGGGUGUAAGAUCUAUACUGGACUUUUUUUGCAAAUAGCUCCUUCACAAAAUUUUAUUUUAAAAUUGGUCCUGUCAAAAAUUUAUUUGCAAAAAUGGUCCUACCCCUGCCACGCAAGCGCCACAUCAGCGCCACGCGGGCGGGGCGGGAGUUUAAGUUGAACACGGUGAAUGGUUCACCGUGUCCAAUACAAAUAUCAUAUUGGACACGGUGAACCAUUCACCGUGUUCAAUACUAAUACAGUCUUAGCCAAAAAAUGACUAAGUCCUAGGUAGUUGUAUUAGACACGGUGAAUUACAACUAACUCGGUUUAGCCAAUUUUUGGCUAAGUGGGGAUAUUUGUAUUGGAUACGGUGAAUCAUUCACCGUGUUCAACUUAAACUCCUGCCCCGCCCGCGUGGCGCUGACGUGGCGCUUGCGUGGCACAGACAGGACCAUUUUUGCAAAUAAAUUUUUGAUAGGGCCAAUUUUAAAAUAAAAUUUUAUCAGGAAGCUAUUUGCAAAAAAACCCUCUAUACUGUCUAACGGGGCGCACAAGUAGAUAUUUUUUUUUUAGAGAGCAAUGCUAUUGGUAUUCGAUACACCUCAAAUGGGGUGUAAAGCCAAAAGUUUUUUCUUGUUUUGUCAACUUUUUGUUGAAAUAAAUAAUAGAAAUUCAGAGUAUUUUGUAAACCCUCCGAUGAAAAUGGGUAAAGUGAUUAGGAUAAACUUUGAUCGAAUUCGACAUCGGAUUCGGUAGGAUGCGAAUAUAGAUGUCACAAAAUUUAGCAUUCGAUAUAUAUAUUCGUAUUAAAAAAAAAAAAUUGCAGGCAAAUAUGGCUUUACAUGAUUUUUAAAAAAUCCGACCCUAAGAGAUGAGAAAGAUAUAAUUAAAUAUAUAUUGUAGGGAAUAAAGUGGUUUUCUAUCAUAAUUUUUCUUUCAUUUAUUUUACUAAUAAAUUUUAUGUUAAAAUUAUAUUUAUAUUUGUGAAAAAAAUUUAGUUUCAUUAAAUAAAAAUAUAGGUAAACAAAGUUUGAAUUUGAGUAUAAACUUUUAAUAUAUAUAUAUAUAUAUAUAUAUAUAUAUAUAUAUUAGUAUGUAUUAUUAUCCAAAUACGAAUUCCUCUUGUAUUGGAAUUCGAAUCUAUUGUAAGUAAACAUGGUAAUAAAAAUUUAGCAUCUAAUACAUAUCUGCAUCCGAAUUCGUAUCUGAAGAAAAAUUGUCAAAAAUAUGAUCGUAUUCAACUUUUUUCACCUUAGAUAAAGGGGUACAUGUAAAUUAGGGGUGUAAAUUAUAUCCUUUUUAGAGUGUACAAGUAACAACUUUCUUUUUUUAAACCCUAGUAGGGGCAUAAAUCAUAUUUUUUUAGGAAAAAAUUUAGAAUGCAUCAGUUAUAUUGUUGAUGUGGCGUUUCCAACCAAUCAAUUUGUUCUCUUGGGUUCACCCAUCCUAUCAUGGUUAUUAGAAAAUUAUUUUUAUUAUAAUUUUCUCUCAGAAAAGAUAUGUGAUUAGCUGAUUAUUGAUGGUAUAGUAUUAGCAUUACACAGUAGGCCUCCUCCUUUUUUGGGUGUACAAGUAAAUUUUCUUUUUCAAAAAUUAUAAAUAAGGCGUAAGAUUCUAUAUAUAUAUAUAUAUAUAUAUAUAUAGAAUUAUGCUAUUAUAUUAUCAAUAAUAUCAAGCGUUUAGUGCUAUCGAGUUUUCGAUUGUUGGAUGAAAGGACGUGUAGUUAGGAUAAUAGCGGUCUCUUAGGGUUGAAUGGAUGGUUGGUUGAAUAGUAUAAUCUAAUGGGUAGAAAUAAUCAAGGGUAGAUCUAACUGUUGAAAAGUUGAUAGUAACAAGAGCUUGAUACUAUCGAUAGUAUAAUAGCCGGAUUCUAUACAUACAUUAGGCUAGAAUAUUAUCAAUAGCACCAAGCUAUUGGUGCUAUUAGGUUUUCGACACUUAGAUAAAAAAAAUAUACGGUUAGGAUGAUGUGGGUCCUCUAGGGUUGAGUGAGUUUUUGGUCUAAUGGGCGAAAAUAAUCAAAUGGUUAAAUCUAACGACAGAAAACUUGGUAGCACCAAACGCUUGGUGCUAUCGAUAGUAUUCCGGCCGGACUCUAUAUAUAUAUAUAGAGAGAGAGAGAGAGAGAGAGAGAAUUGAGCUAGAAUACUUUUACAAGUAUCACCCCCAUGGUGCUAUUAGGUUUUUAGCCAUUAGAUCUACUCCUUGAUUACUAAUAGCUCUUGGAUCAAACACUAUUCCACCUACNACCACCACCUACCACCAUCAUCUCAACCCUACAUCUCUCCAUCGAAUGGCUCAAAACUCAAAAGCACCAUUUUUUUGAUGCUUUUGAGAGUAUUCUAGUUCAACUCUAUAUAUAGGUGUACAAGUAGCAUUUUUCUUAGAACUUUUUUUUUUUUUUCUAGGGUUCCUUGCAAAGGGGUGUCAACUUUUUCCCACAGGGCGGAAGGGGAAGAGGCUUGUAAAUUCUGAGCAUAUCAACUGGGUAAGCUAGAUAGAACUUUUUUAAUUGGUGACACAAACCGCUUAAUUCUCUCCUUGAUCUACCAUUUCUCUUCUUUUUUUUUUACCAAAAGGGAUUUGCUAAUUCUUGGAAUCUUGGUUUUGAAGGAGAAGGAGAGGUUGAUUCUCUUGAUGAUUCCUAACCCUUUUUUUUUUGUUUUUUUUUGCAAUCAUGAUUUGUUUUUCCAUGUAUAUCUGUUUUUGCUGGAUUGUUGAAUAUCAGGUUCUUCAAAUAAUGCAUUUUAGAUUUCUUGUUGUAGUUCAUCAUCAAGAUUUGAUUCAGAGGUGGGUUUCUAAAUCACCUCUUCCUCUUCCCCUCUCUCUCUCUCUCUCUCUCUCUCUCUCUCUCUUGAUCUCAUUUAUUUGGGCCAUAAAUGGGCUAUUGUGGGCUGUAACCAACUCUUAUAUAUAUAUAUAUAUAUAUAUAUAUAUAUAUAGUAACUGAAAGGGCAUUUUGGGUAUGUGAAAGAGGAGUUCUUUAUUUAUUUGCUAAGGAAAAGGAGAAGAGAAGAGAAGUGGGCUGUUGUGGUUUGGGGAAUUUGUAGGGCUUAUUCCUCUCUCUAUCUCUCUCUCUCUCUCUCUCUCUCUCUUCUUUGGGAGAGAGAAAUAGGGGCAAAGGGAGGAGGGUUUGCAAGGAUCUUCCUGCAGUAAAAUUUAAUAAUAUCCUGGAGAUGGUUUUGGAAAGAGAAGGAAGUUGGGUUCUUGCAAGGCCUUGUUUUGGAUCAAAUCAAGGUUAAAUUCUUUUCUUCUUUUAAGUGUUUGUUUGGCCUCACUACGUAGGAUGUAGUGCUGUUUGAUAAAGUAUUAUUCCAGUAGCAGUAUUCGAAGAAGCACUAUGCUAAAUCCUCGCCAAUGACUCCUCUUUGUAUCGAAAGUAGAAGUUUCAAAUUAGAGCUUUUAAUAUCAGAUAUAUAUAUGAUCUUAUUUCAUGUUUAGUCAUUUGCCAAAUACUCUGUUAGAGGUGACUGCAGUUGAAAGCAAAAGUAGAAUCUAGGCCAACAAUGCCCUUAGGCUAUUUUUGUUUCUUUGAGUUUGGUGAUUUUUUGCUUGAUUAGCCUAGCCUACUAGUAUGUUUGGGCUUAAUGGGGUUUAUGAGGGAGCUUUUCAUGUAUAGAUCAUAAGGUGAAGGCAUUCUCUUGGGUUCUCAUUCCUUGGGGUGAAGAAAAAGAGGUCAAGAGAAGGUUUAGGGUUUCUCUUUUGUUCUUCUUGUUUGAGAUUAGGUCUUUAGGGGUGUUUUGAACUUUAAAGGCAUCUCAAAAGCUUUCUAAGGCAGGAUUUGUUGUAUUAGAGAGGAUUUUGAUGCAGUCAAGAAAUCAACCACAGAUUAAAAGUUAAUUUUUUUUCCCUAAUUUUCGGAAUUUUUAUUUUGGUUAAUUUGUUAUAGUGAAUCUUAAAAGAUUUUUCAGGAUCUUUCUGUACCGAAUAAAUCCCUAAAAAUUAGGAACAUGAUUUUGGAAGUUUAGAAUUAGGAUAAGAUAUAUUUGUAUCAGGAAAAUCACUAAAAUCUUGGGAUUUGAUUAGGAUUAGAAUUAGGUGUUUUUUUUUUUAUUAUAAAUAGGGUCCAAGGCCUGUUGUAGAUGGAGAGUCUUUGGUUAUGAAAAUUUUGAUCUUUGCCUUUGUGGCUUCUCUCUUCUUCAUUCCCUUUCUUCUUCUCUCUAUUCUCCUUUUUCCCUCUUUCACCUAUUGCUACAGAGUCCACUGCUAUAAUACCACAGCUACAAAACUUACUACAGCAUUUUCGGCCUGCAUCAGUUGGUAUCAGAGCGUCCAAAUAGCGGCCUAUUCUUAUUUAGGCCUGCUUCAUACUUGUUCUUGUAUCAAUAAAGGUAUAAUAAUAAGGGUAAAUUCCUAAUGUGUUGUUGAUGUGCCCAUGAGCCCAUCGUUGCGGUGUGGCAAUGUAAAAGAAAACCCUUGUGCUCGUGGAUUUUCAAUUUAUUUUGCGUUCACUAUUAUCUAUCUUCUUGCACAUCUUGGAUGUGGGUGGUUUAUAUCCAAGUCAUUCUUUCUUUCUUGUGGUUUGAUUCAUGGUAGUGCGAGUUCCACUUUACCGCCCUGCAGUCGUCAUUCGUGCCUCUUAUAUACAGAAGUACCCAAUGUGUGUGCAUCGUAUAUAUUAAUAUUGUCAUACAUUCAUUUUGCAAUUAGUUUUACUAUAUUUAAAAAUGUUUUUUAAGGAGUAAUUCAUAACCACAUUGCCCGAGUGAUCACCAAGUUCUCACUGCUUUGGCUGCAAUUUGCUUAAUUUAUAGUUCUCUCCAACUUACUGUCACCUAAUUUUGUUUCGAUUCUUUCAUAUCUUAGAUGGUUUUGAAAUUUCAAAUGAUAUUUCUUUCUUGUUAAAUGUUGCAGGAGUUGGAAUCAAGUAAAGUCACUCAAAUAUAACGACGGUUUAUGGUAUAUAUUUCCCCUCACUUAUAUGAAAGCAUCAUAAUGGUUUCCAACUGAGCAUGGAAACAAGCUUAACGAUCAACUUGUAAUCAGCCACAGGUGGUGAAAGUUAAAUUGAUGUCUCCAAGAAGUGAUAGAUGUUCCCAGGUUGGUCAUAGAAGACCUGUUACCAGAUUUUCAGUUUCGCCGUCAAGCUUCUCUGAUUUGCCAAAUACUAAAAGCAUGUGCCAUAUCUAUGCAUCUAGAAGGAAUGGCUCUAUGUACAAAAGGAAGAACUUGGGUAAGAACACAAUCACUCUCUUGCUCGAAGAAAGUACAAGCAGAGGUGCUAGCUGUGAUAUCGAGAGAGCGUCUGUUGUCUCCUCAAGUGCUCCUAUGAAAGAGUUUCACGGAUCUCAAACCUUGGUAGAUAGUGGAAAAAGUCAUCAGGAAGUGCCGUUCAUGGCUGCAAACUCGCAGAUUGAACAGAUUGCAAACAACGGGGAAAACAAUGUCAGUAAUGAUAGGCGGUCAUCGCCGAAAGCUAAUGCGGAACUUCGAUCAUCUGUGGUUGAGAAAGUAGAUAGUAAGACGAAAGAACCAUUUGAAGGAUUCGCAUCAACAAGGGAACUCUGCAUUCAUGUCCUCAAAAGUAGUGGACUCCUCCCGGAAGAACGGGCUCGAGAAAAUUGUGAUUCUAUAGAUGACCAAUGUGAAAUUGACUAUGAGAAAUCGUUAAAAUGCAUAAAAUGUGGGGUUUCGGAAUGCUCGUCAAAGAUGCUGAUCUGCGAUCUUUGCGAGGAGGCAUUUCAUUUAUCUUGCUGCAAUCGUAGAGGAAAGAAAUUGCCAGUCGAUGAGUGGUACUGCCAAGUUUGUUUUAGAAAAAAACCUAAGCACUUACGCGCGAAACUUUUAAAACCCAAAGACGAACUAGAUGGAAACAGGAAUCAAGUAUCUCGAAGGGGUAUACGUCCUAUUGCUUUAAUGUUGAAAGAUACUCAGCCAUAUACAACUGGGGUUCGAAUUGGGAAAGAUUUCCAAGUAGAAGUUCUGGAAUGGAAUGGUCUAAUCACAGAGUAUGUUUUCUUUUACUCUUAGUCUCAUUCUUUUAUCUAUUUUCCAUUCUACAGAUAUAAAGCAAAAGUUUGUUGUAUUUAGUAUAAAGGUGAAAAAUGGUAGCAACAUUUUGUUAUCGCACAACAACUUCAGAAAACUUUAGGCUUAAUAACAAGUUCGGUACUCAAAGUUUGGCGUUGUUGUCAUUUAUGCCUAAUAACAUAUAACAAAUUUAUGACUAAAUUGUUUUAAAUUGAAACUGAAAACCUAACGGAUAUCAGGAUCAAACUACGUGAAGUAAAUAGCAGCUAAACUAACAUCUAAUUAUCUCGACAGAGGAUUUUCAUAUUGCAGUUAGCACUGUUUGUGUUUACUGUUUACGAGUUUCUCCCAUCACCCAUAAUAUUCCUUGAUAUAUUCUUCAUAAUUACUGUUUUUGCAGUACUCAUGAUUGUCUCGGUGAGCCCUCUGAAGUUGAUCCUGCUGAAUUCAGUAACAUUUCCGUAAGCCUUACGGACCCAAUAAACCUUAAGGGAUUAAUUGCACUAAGAGUCUCCAAACUUUUUAGGAAGUUUCACUUUGGUCCUCAACUUUUUGAUUGUUACUAAUUGAGUUUGUAAUUCGCGAUCCAUUGCAAUCUUACUCUUUUCAUCAGAUUCCUCAGUUAAGUUGGAUGAAAUGCUUAUUCAAUCUCUACAAAAGAAGUCUAAAAGUCGCUCAGUUGGUCGUUCGAAAUGUUUGCAUAGAUAUUUUUGUCCAAUUUAGAGGAAUAUGAUCUAAGGGCAAGAUUAUAGCAAAUCACAAAGAUUAGGGGAUGAAACUGAAGUUAUGGUGCAAUUUGCCCUAAUCUUGUGUUGUCAUAAACAUUUCCGCUUAGCAUGUCUUCUUUUUUGUCACUUAGGAUUUGAAGAGUGACAGUAAGGUCAAAUCAGGGAUGAUAAAUAACUGGAUCCAAUGUCGAGAAAAGAUUGUCUCAAGCGAAACUGACAAAGAAAUGGUUUGUGGAAAGUGGCGCAGGUAAAAAACUCUUCAUAGAAUCAAAGUAUAAUUUAAAUUAGGUUACAUUUUCUCGAUGUAAGUAGUGAUAAUGCUCUCUUUGAGAUACAACAAUGUUGCAUUUUACCAAUUGUAUCUAGCGCAGUUGGCUCUAGCGCAGUUGGCUCUAGCGCAGUUGGCUAUAGGCUUGAUGGUUGGUAUUUGAGGUUCCAAGUUCGAAGCCUAAUUGCUUCACAUUUCUAGCUAAGUUAAUUUUUUUAAAAAAAUGAACGAAGCAGUUAGCAUGCUACCACUCUCUCUCUCUCAAUAAAAAAUAAAAUUUUUAAAAAGACAAUGUUGCAUUUACAUUUCCCUCAUACCUUGAGUUCAAAUGUGCCUUUAAAGCCAAUUCUCCAUUGGCAAUAGAGCAUAUCUUUCUUCAUAUGUUUGUGUUUUUAACGACAAACUCAUGUUGUAUACCAAGGUUUUAAGUGCCCGUCGGCACGGGCUGUAUUCACCGUGCCGUACCGUGCCAACAAGAUACCUGCACGACAGACCCCGUGCCGAUGGCACAGCUCAAAACCCUUUAUUAUUUAAAUUAGUAAGUAAUUUUCUCAAUAAAGUUCGAAAGAUGUGAUAAAAAGACAUAAUAAAUAGUUAGAAUAUUUUGUUGCUAAAGAAAAUAAAUAUUUCAUGCUAUUAUGUGUUGGCACACAAUUUUUUUUGACCGGCAUGCAUCGGCACGCACCGUGCCGUACCGUGCCGACAAGUUUUCGGCACGACCUCGUGCCACGACACUUAAAUCCUUGAUAUAUAUAUAUAUAUAUAUAUCUAUUAAAUCUAUUAAAUAAUAUGAAUCCUCAAUACUUUUGCCACGUGGCACCCCCUCCUUCACCCAUCUGCUCCACUUCCCUUCUUUUCCCAUUGUCGCUAACUAUCACCUCCAAUAAAUAAAUAAAUUUAUUGAUUUUCGUCUACCCUUGCUGUUACAUCCCUCCACUACCUAUUUGGGGCAUUCAUUUCCUUUCAUUUUGAUGCCUAUAUAAUUCAUCCAUCUGCCCCUCCACUACCUAUUUGGGGCAUUCAUUUCCUUUCAUUUUGAUGCCUAUAUAAUUCAUCCAUCUGCUCCCCUUCCCUUCUUUCCCCAUUGUUGCUAACUGUCACCUCCAAUAAAUAAAUAAAUUUAUUGAUUUCCCUCUACCCUUGCCGUUACAUCCCUCCACUAUCUAUUUGGGGCAUUCAUUUCCUUUCAUUUUGAUGCCUAUAUAAUUCAUCCACCCUCAAAUGCUAUGAUGCUGUUACUCCAAUUUUAAAUUAAAUGCCCACUUUCAAUGAAUGAUCCUCCAAUGUAAUUGAUAGCCUCUGCUAAGAUGAAUGCUCAGAAUGGUAGACAUAAAUUGAAAUAUGGUCUUCUCAUAUUUUGGUGAUGCUUUUACUGUCUACAAUUAGUUAGUAUUUUGGGUUUCUUUUUAAGACUUCUAAAAUUGAGUUUUUAUUAUUGCUGUAGUAUGAUAGUUUGUUUAUUAAUUUACUUCUUUGUUAUGUGAAAUAACAUAUCUUCUAUGAUUGUUCUAUUUUUGUUCUAUUGCUUCUGCUAAAUUAUAAAGGCAAAUUUGUGACUUUCUUAUUUCCAGCAUACCUAAAUUUGAAAUGUGUAGCUGUUGUAGUAUUGAGUUUAAUCUUUAAGUUGCCCGGUUAUUUCAUUGUUAUAAAUUGAGGCAUCAAUAUAUUAGUUCAAAAUAGAUUUACAAUAAUUGUAAAUUAAUUCAAAUUUCCUUAGUUAGGGUCUUUUCUUAUUUUUUGCAUAAGAUUUGUUUCAGUGAAAUUUCUUAUUUAGUAGGAACAACAAUUAAAUUAGAGUCUUUCCUUAUUUUUUGCAGUAGAGUCUUUCCUUACAACAGAAAAUUUUUUUCUUGAAUUCCUUUAAUAGUUAGUAUCUUUCCUUAAUUUUUGCAUUAAAGUUUCUUCAGUGGCAUUUCUUUAUUGAGUACGGAAAACAAUUUACUCUUGAGUGAAAUAUGAGGUUUAUAUCGUCUGUCCUUAUAGACCAUAUACAGCAGAAAUAUUCUUCUUAGAAAACCUGUUCCUUAAAAGUUUUGCCAUAUAUUAUGUGAUUAGUAGCUACUCUCUUUCUAUUUAGCAGUAUUAAGAGUAUAGCAUAAAUGUUUGUUUAAAUUUUUUUGAGAUGUUAAUAUUUUACAUUUUUCUACUGAGAUGAUAUAUUAAAUAAGAUUUGAUCUUCACAUUUUCAGUUUUUUUCACAAAUAAUUCAAAAUAUGAACUUCUCAAAUGAUUUUCAAGUUAGUGAUAUUUGGCUUGGUUUCGAAAUAGUUUCUCUAUUCAUAUAUAGAAAGCGGCAAUUAGCUGUCUAACAAAAAUGAAUAAUAAAAAUUGUAUAUUUUGAAACUAGGCAUUCUGAUUUGAAAUUUUAUGUUCAGUGAGAAGUUAUUAAAACUGCCAUCCAUUAUUUUAGUUAUGGUAAUUUUCAAUGUGAGUUGAAAAUUUUUGUUGUAUGAACUUUUUCAAAGAUUGACUGGAAUUUUUAUACUUAUAUCAGGAAACUUUUAUUUACUUUUAUCCACUCAUGAAAUGCCUAUGUAAGUCUUCUUCUCAAAUUUCUUUCAAAUCUCUAUGUAAUACUCUUAUCUUUUUCACAACUUUUUUUCUUUUUUUUUUAAAUUUCUUAUUUUUUUUAUUUUUGUUUGCUGGACGGAGGUAACACACACUUUGUAUUCACAAAUUUUUCUUUUUUCCCAAUAAGUUUAUAUGCCAAUCUAAUGUCCCUUUUUAUCCAUUAAUUAUAUUUUCUCGGCCGUAAGGCCACGUUUUCUGCAUUUAAAUGUAUGAUAUAUGCUUUCCUAAAAGUUCUUGAUGGUCGCCAUCAUUUUCUGUUUUAUUGCUUCAUCAUCCAACUCUGUUGAAUUUCAUAGUUAAUUAGAUGGUGAAAUCAACAGAAGAUCAAAUUAUUCUAUAUAUUUUAUUUGUUUCCAUUUGUAGCAAAGAUGUCCACUCUUUUUAGUAUUAUAUACAAUUAUAUAAUAAUAUACGCUAAAUGGGAUCAUUUGUCCUUACUAAAUUCAUGGAAAAAGAAUUAUAAUAUUAUGCAUUUGCAUGUAAUAUAUAGAGAUAAAAAAACAAAAUUUACAACUCAUCUUUGUUGACAAUUAAAGUUUGAUUAAUAUAAAUUGUUACGACAUAUUUAGUAUUAGUAUCUCAUGCUAUAUAAGGAUACUAUAUAUUACGUAACAUAAAUGAUGAUUACUGAAUGCACACUCUUUCUCCCCCUCUAAAUUUAUAGCAAAGUUUGCUUUGUCUUUCUUAAGGCGUGUUGCAGUAAGCGGGUAGCACGCUACCUUUCUCUCAGAAAUAGCAGCACAAUUGAUGGCAAAAAAAGCAGAAAAAGAACCAACAGCACUAGCAGGACAAUCAAUGGCAAAAGAAGAAAAAGAAAAAUAAAAUACUAUUUUGCCGCAGCUUGAUUUGCAUAUGCUAUCAAUAACACACACCAAGUUGAACAGAACAACAUGUAUCAAAAGAUGUAUAGUCAAAUGAGACAGUAAAUCAGUACAUAUUUUACUCUAUUAGUAUAUUAUUCAUUCUUUGUUCUGCUGUAGCUGGUAAUAUAAUUAGAUAUGUAAAACUUUAAUUGAUUAAUUUAUACAGUUAUGUUGUAAGUAGUAAGUAUAGAAAAAAAAAAAUUUUACUGUAGGGACACAAUAAUUUGUAACAGAAAAGACUAAGGAAAAUAAUGCUCUAGAACUUAUUAAAGAGAAAAAAUAAAUAAAAACUAUAAUUUUACUUCGACAAUAGCUACUCACUGCAUUGUGCGAGUUCCUGCACUAGUAUAUAUAUAAGGUCCUAAAUUGCACAAAAUUGAAAAAUAGUGGACUUUUUUAUUUUCUAUUUUUAAUUAUUUCUUUCAAAGUGCCAUUUUUGGUUCUUAUGCAUGUCUCGCUAAUUUAAUGUGUGUCCUAAAUCCUUUACAGGGCACCUCUUUUUGCCGUUCAAACUGACGAUUGGGAUUGUUCAUGUGCCAUUCCUUGGGAUCCGACCCAUGCUGAUUGUGUUGUUCCUCAGGUGAUUGCUCAUUUUAUACUGGUAAAAUGUACUGAUAGUCCUUAUAGUUUCUAAUAUUUGUGUGAUGCCCCAUUUCAGGGGUCACCCAUCCUAGACUAGUUCUAGCACGAUUAGCCCUUUUAAUCUCUUUGGCCUAGCUACCAUUCAACAUGCUAUAGCUAGGUUUAGAAGUUUAGCUAUAAUAUAUCUUAUAUAUAGGACUAUACCAAGUCCUAUGGUGUCACAUUCCUCUCCCUUUAAGCCCUGAUGUUCUCGUUAGACUCAAGCACACUUAAAAGCACCAGACGAUCUAGCUUUAGCCGACUUUAUAGGGAGCCGUGCUCCACCCACACUGUUCCGGUUAGUGAUUGGCUCUGAUAACAACUGUGACGCCCUACUUCUCAGAGAGUCACCCAUUCUAUAAUUACUCUAAUUCUAGCACGAUUAACCUUCUUAACCUCUUGAGCCUAGUCACUGCCCAACAUGCUAUAGUUAGGUUUAGAGGUUUAGCCUUAUUAUAUCUUAUAUAAGACUAUACCAAAUCCUAGGGGUGUUAUAAUUCACCAGUCUUUUCUCAAAUUUUCACUUACACGCAUAUCGCAAUUAAAUCCCUGAAUGAAAUGAGAAAGCCAUUUUAUAGGAGGGGUGAAAUAGUUAUUGGGAAAUUAGAUCUUUUCGAGGUCCAAGAUGAAGUUGCAAAUUAUAAGAAAGUUCAAGGGCUAAAGUGUUUAAGUGAAAAUUACAAGGACCAAGCAGUAAUAUCAGGAUAAUACAGGGACUAUCCAUACAUUUUCUACUGUUAUAGAUAUCCUUCUGUUCACGUUGAUAUACUUAAUUCCUUGGUUAUGGUUUCUUAUGAUUUUUUACAAUUUAAAAUGCUUAAUUCCUUGAUGUUUCAAUUUUUGAUUAUUGAAAUUUGUGGACUAAUUUCCUAAAGGGUUAAAAUUCAUGGAUUAAAUUACUAAUUGACAAUUUAGCACUAUGCAGGACUCGGCAAAGGUGGUUUUAUAUGUUCUUCUAUAUCUGUUUAUCCAAUACAAGUUUGUCUAUGAAAAUUUCAAUAUAAAACAUAUUUACAAUUUAUGCCCCCCAAUUAAAGCAUAUCUGUUUUAUGCCUUUCACUUCAUAUAUGCGUUUUUGUGAGUUCAUUUCCUUUUUACCAUUUGAUUUUGUCUCCGUCUAUAAUAAUUAAUCAAGCUUACGGUCUUUUAGUAAUUAUGUCGUUAUUUUAUUUACAGGAGUUGGAGACAGAUGAGGUUCUUAAGCAGCUGAAAUAUAUAAAAAAGGUAAUUUCAUAAACAUCUAAAAUUGUGCGAGUAUUAUAUUAGUUUUGCACGAGCGGCUCCUUAUUAUCGACGAUACCAAAUAGUUGGUCCAAGUACUUGGUUUGCGCUCAACUUUUGCUAUAGAGUGGUCGGUUGUACUUCAUUUUUUUACUCAAUGAACAUGAAAUGUGUCUGCAGCUCCGGUGUCGUCUUAGCAAUAAAAAGAAGAAAUCAAACCAAAUAUAGACGAUAACCGGGAAUAGGAGUUGUCGCGCUGUGCUACAGGACCGCGAACAGAUAUAAAGUAAGUUGCUAUACUUCCUAUAAUUAACAUCUCGUGCGUGAAUUUGAUCUGCGCUUGUAUCUUCGGUUGGUUUCUAGGGUGGUAAUAAUACAGGAUGGGAUAGGAAUAAUGUGUUCCGGGAUUUAUUUGCGACCCGUCUAGAGCAAUGGGGAGCCGAUUUCAUUCGUGCAACUAUGUUGGAGAAGAAACCAUCCAAAUGAAGCUUUGUUUGAUCAGAUGGAGCUUCUGCAGAAGUGUUGUUUUUAGUAGGGCUUUUUGGUGAAGUUUUUAAAAUACUCAAAACAGCUUCCCACUAUCGGUUAAGUAGAAAUUGAGGAGUCCCAAGAGUAUUGUUAAAAGCAGAUUCAGAUUAAUUUCAGUUGUUCCAGCCAAGAAAGGAAUUACGCGAGUAUCUCGAGAUUAGAUUAAAAGGGAAGUGAGGAUAUUUAUUUGAAGAGGCUUUUGCUUAUUUACCCCUUACUACUAUUCAAAAAUUUCAAAUUUAUCCUAAAUUUACGAAAGUAUCCUUCUAAAGUCCAAUCCCACUAAUAAACCCUAGGAGAAAUGGGGAUAUUUGAAGGAAUUUUUUAAAAUCAACAAGGGUAUUUUGGUCCACCAAGGGAUAAAUAAGAUAUUUUUGAAGUUUUGAUGUGGGAAAUGAUAUGAAAGUAAAUAAGGUUGAUAUGACAGGUUGCUAGUGCUCUAUAUGGAGGGUUUUCGGCCGAGCCAGAUGCUAAUUAGUUUCAAGUGAAAACUCCAUCAUUUUGAAACUUCAAACCUCGCUAGAAAUGUCGGUGGAAACUUCGGACCUUGAUAGAAAACUUCCAAUUUGGAACCAACUGUUCUUGGGUUGAGGAACUCAUGUCGUCUAUGCCACAACAACAGCUCUAGAUUGUUAAAUGUUUCAUUAGUAUAGAGUUAUUCCAAUCUUCUAGAAGCUAGGGCACGUAGGAACUAAAUCUACUAUGAAUUGUUUCGGCUUUGAUUGAUUGCUAAACUAGUUCUUUCUGUAUUCGUUCUUUGUGUGCCCACAUCUUACUCCUUUAUUGCACUCUUACAUAACCUUUGACAAUAGAAACUCCCGCAAAUUGGAAUCCAUCAAUAGAGGCAAUAGAGGCCUUUUGAUUUCGGGAGAACUCAUACUUGACAUUGAUGGGUCAUAUUCUCAAGCGGAUGUCGGUGCGGGUGGUGCGGGUCCUUUUGAGACUAAUGGUCAUCUCGUUUUUGCAGGAUUUUUGGGUUUUUAUUGCUCAAGAACUAUUGAAGCUUCAAGUGACGUACAUAACCGUCAAUCGUGAGUUUUUUUUUUUUAUGAUUUUGAUACUAAAUUUGACUCUUUUAUGCUCGUGCAUAGUUUGAAAAAGGAAUUCACUUGCCGUAGAAACUCGAAUCCCUUUUUUUGUUGACUCACCUCACCCCCAUUCUCUUAGUACUUGCUCUAAAGUGCUUUUGGAUUUCUCGUGUUUAAUACGACGAAGCUAAAAAUGAUGUUAAGUGGCUCGCAAAUGUUGGUUGUUGUAUUCAAUGUGCUCUUGUUUUGAGAAUAGAGUGGUAGAUAUCUUCUGAGUUGUGCGCCCUAAAUAUCCCCGUGAGUCACAAUGGAUUCGGUCGUGUUGUCAUAGUAUGAGAUGAUGACUCGCGAUGAAUCUCGAUCGAUGGUGCAUAUGGCAAAUAUGCGUGAUGCACGCUAUUACUCAACCUCGUAAGCACUUUCGUGAUUCCACUUUGUUUUGUGGAUCGAAACACGAUCGAGCUCGAGUCGACUCCUUUUUCGUAGUUGGCUCAUAUAUUUUGUGGAUCGAAACACAAUCGAGCUCGAGUCGACUCCUUUUUCAUAGUUGGCUCAUAGGGGAGCUCUAUGGCUAAGGAUGGCCAAGGAUGGAGUAAUGCUAUCCUCAAGAGUAAUAAAAUAUUCAUCAAUUAUGGGGCAAAUAUAAUGAGGAUAUCUACCUAAUCUUGAGAUCUUAUCAAAGCUCUUUUUGUUUCUAUUCUUGGAAUAGAAACUUUUGAGUCCCAACUAUUCUUAGUAUUCUAUAAAGAGGGUAGAGGCUUUGGCCCUAACAAGUUGUUUUGGAUGAUGGGUUGUCUAAAUCGAUGAUCAGUACCGUUAAACUUGAUCUGAAGUAGUUAAAAGUGAUGAGAAGCUUUAAGUGGUUUUUGUCAAUUAUGUACUUUGUGAUUGUAAGGUACCCAAAAUUGGUAAUUUGUAAUGGGCAAUAUGAGCCCCUCUUGUUUAAUUUUGUUGGUUUUUUAUUAUAGAGGUUUUUUCUCAUAUACCCUUAACUACUGUGUCUGGCAAACAGGCGGGUUAGGUAAACUGCGGGUGGGUUAUUGUACCGUAGAUUAUAUGGGUAUGGGUAAAAUUUAUCCAUAAAGUUUUGGGUGCCAAUAUCUUUACCCAUACCUGCCUGCAGGCAGGCGGGUAUGCGGGUUCUUCGCAAGAUAUUCUUUUUUCUUUUUUCUUUUUUCUUUUUUUUUUUUCCUCUUAUACUUUCUUAAAGCAAAAUUGGUAUAUGUAAUUUUCAAAAAUCAUAACAUAAAUUGUGUUUGAAAUAUCACACCAUACAAUAAACAAUAUAAAGUCUUAAAACACUUAAAUUAUAUAAUGUAAAAGUAGUUUAUAAUUUUAAACUUUCAUGAUACAAAAUUAAUAUAGUUUUCAUGUAUGAAGACAAUAAAUUAGGAAUAGAAUUUUUUUAAUUAAAAAAUAUAUGCGGGUAUUCAUGGAUACCCGCGGUUGCCCAAAAUGUCCAUAAUUCAACGGGUAUUCAUCCGUUUUACCCAUAAUUUUUUGGGUAAGCAAAACUAGUACCUAUACCCGCAAAUUUGCUGGUAACCUGUGAGUAUCCUCGGGUAUGGGUAAAGAUUGUCGGGUCUACUUACUACUAUUUACAACUUUUAAAUUUACCUUUUGUUUUCAAAAAUACUAUUCUAAAAUUCCAAUGCCAUUAAUGAAUUCUAGAGGGCAAAGGGAUAUUUGAAGCAUUUUUUUUCUAGGUAUUUUUGUCAACCAGAAAUAAAUUUGAUAUUUUUGAAGUUUUAGAUGGCAUAUUAGAUUUAAUUCCUUUAUUUAUAAAAUAUAUUCCACUAGCUAGAUCACGUCAAGAACAUCGAUCAUGAAUUGAAGAAUUCUAACCUCUAUUUUAGUAGUUAUUUGAUUUUCACAUUCACCGGUGCCACUUGAUGUAAUAAGUGUAAUGCCCCAAUAGUCCUACAUCGCGUGGGAAAAUAAUUCUCAUUAGAAUAUAUGAGGUCUACACACUAGUAAUAAUAACCGGAUUUAAGUAUUUUGGGCCGACAGUUUGGGUCCAACGAGUUAUUAUUGCUAGCGGGUCAGGUUAUUACAAUUGGUAUCAGAGGCGAAUACCAGCCGGAAGUGUGAGAGCUAAGUGCUAUGCGGGGCAAAGUGCUAUACCAACGAAUUUGGUGGGAGUCACAUCUUGAAUCCUUAGGAGCCACCUCUAGAAUCUCACAUCGCAUAGUAAUUCUGGUCUGUAUCUGUGAUCUGGUUUGGAGCCGACGAGGACAUCAGGGUCUAAACAGGGAGAGUCUGUAACGCCCUAAUAGUCUCACAUCAGGUGGAAAAAUGAUUCUCAUUAGAACAUAUAAGGCCUACACGCUAGUAAUAAUAAGUGGGUUUAUGCAUUUUGGGUCGGCGGUUUGGACCCAACAAGUUAUUAUUGCUAGCGGGUCGGGUUAUUACAAUAAGAAUCUGAAAAAUCAUAAAAUUCGAAGUCCACCUACUUCAAAUACUCUAGAUUAAGUUUAAUGCUGACUUUAUCUUCCUUAAAGGAUAUUAACAAGAUAUUGUUGUCGCUAGGUGUAAUUUUGGAACUUUGGGAGAUUUUUAUGGUUUUUGUAGGGGAAUUACUAUCAUCCUAACCCCACAACCCUUCAUCCAAAAGUUGAAAAUCGUAAUCAUCGAUUAUGUAGUGCAAUUAGAAGCAUUUGAUUUUGCAGAUUAAGUCUAAAUUUUUAGUAAACUGAUCAAAUUAUUCUUAUUCCUUUUUCUCUUUCUCUUUCGUUUAUCUUAUAUAUCUUUAUCCUCUCACUUUCUCUCCUUCCUCUUCCUUCCCCACUGCCCCCACCUCAAUGCCUGCUCCUCUUUCUAACCUCGCCCACAUCUUUGCAACUGCGGUAGUGGCAAUGCGGGCUCGGAUAUAACGCAGGUCGUGGAGAUGAGGCUACAACAGAGGGCAUGAUUGUUGACGGCGGUGACGGCGAUGAGAGUGUCGCAGUACUUGAGGAAGAUGGGUAGGGAGCGCGCAUUAGGGGUGGGGGCAGUUUUUUCGACUUUAGCUCUCCACAUAAGAGUCUCCCUCGCAUGUCUAUCGAAUGGAAGCACUUGCUAGUCGAGAAAUGCUUGGAAGUAUAGGACUAGAAUUGGUACCAUUUAAAACUAUUUGAGAUUAAGUUCCAACUUUUCAAACAGUGCAAUUUAGUCUCAAAUAGUUUUAAAUGGUGCAACUUAGCAUCAAAUAAUAUAACUAAGUCUCAAAUAGUAUAACUUCUUUUUUCUUUUUUACUUCUUGGCCUUUCCUGUAGUGGUUGCAGCGCAUGGUGGCUUUUAUAGGAGAAGAAAAAAUAUAUUUUUAUUUUCUUCUUCUUUUUUUUUUCUUUCAUUUUUUGCAUUCUUUUCCACUAUUGUACCCCCUCCCUCGCCCAACACACUUCCACCCCUCCACCCCCACACCUUCGAUGCACUCUUCUUUCUCGUCGCUUUUAAAUCUUGCAGCAUCCUUGUUGCUGUCCACAGCCACGUCCUCCACUGCAGCCUUACCUUCAUAACUUGUGCUAUAUCUGAGCCCACAACGUCAUUGUUGACGUCGGCGGAGGUGUGGGUGAGGCAAUGAAGAAGAUCGUGACAUCGACAUGCUAGUGGUAGAGGAGGAGAAAGGAGAGGAAGCGAGAUGAGAAGGAAAGGAAGGGAUGCCAAGAAUAAAAAAGGACAAAGAGGGAAGAGAAAAAUGAAUAAGAAAGAAAGGAGAGAGAAAGAGGAAUAAGUAUUUUUUUGGUUAGUUUAUUGAAAAUAUAGACCUAAUCUGCAAAAUCUAAAAAGGUGGUUCAUCUUUGCAAAAAUACAAAAUCGAUGGGUUUUUUAUAUAAAUUAGCAAUAUAUAUAUAAUUUUGCUACUAUAAUAUCGAUAGUACCAAGUAUUUGGUGCUAUUGAGUUUUUGACCGUUGAAUGAAAGGAUGUGCGGUUAGGAUGAUAGUGGUCUUCUAGGGUUGAGUGGGUGGUUGGUUGAAUAGUAUGAUCUAACAGAUAAAAAUGGUCAAAAGGGUAGAUCUAAUGGUGGAAAACUUGAUAACACCAAGAGAUUGAUACUAUCGAUAGUAUAGUAGCCGAACUUUCUCUUUUUUUUUCUCUCUCUCUCUCUCUAUAUAUAGAAUUGAGCUUCUGUGCUUUUAAAAGUACCAAAUUAUUAGUACUUGUAGAUUUUUUGCGAUUGGAUUAAAAGAUGUGUGGUUAGGAUGAUAUAGGCUCCCUAAGGUUGAGUGGGUAGUUGGUUGAAUAGUAUAAUCUAACGGGUGAAAAUGAUCAAAGGCAUAGAUUUAUAGGAGAGACGGGGAGAGGGGGAGGGAGGGGCUGGUAUACUAUCGGUAGCACGGAGACCUUCGUGCUACCAAAUUGUUGUCAAUGUUGUGGCUUCCAAAUCAACUAUUGGCUCCGUUCGACUUCAUUUACACUAUUGAAAGUCUUUGAAAACUAAAUUUCAUAAUUUUUCGACAUCAUUUACCUAUCUAAUGAAUAGUCUAAAAAUGAACGGCUGAAAAUAAAAAUCUCAUAAAAAUGAUGGUAAAAGACUUGAAUUUAAUAUCAGAGGUACUGAUUUUACUCUAAAUAGUGAAAAAAAAUUUCUAUAAAAAUUUCAUUAGAUNUGGUAAAAUUUCUCUUUGCCAAGGAGAAGAUGCGGGUUCGAUUCCCGCUAUCCGCCCAUAAUCAUAAUUAAGUAAUGUACUAUGAUAAAAAGAUAAAAAAUUAAUUGACUACUAUACUAACUACUAACUACUAUAGUGGUUAGUAUAGUAGUUCUAUCUUCCCCCUUUCCUUGCCUACCAUCCAAAAACAAAAAUGUUGCGGAGACAGGAUUUGAACCCGUGACCUCAAGGUUAUGAGCCUUGCGAGCUACCAAACUGCUCUACUCCGCGCUAAAGAACUAGGAACUAAUGGGCGAAGAAAGAUUGGAUACGCCCCUCUACCAUAUCUAUACAAAUAGAAUAGUCCAUUUAUACAGAAUGGUAAAGAGGGCCCUUCUAUGAUCAUAGAUCAUAGAGAUCUAUACAAAUAUGAAACGAUAUUUUUAUCCUUACCAACUUGAUCUUGUUGCGCCCGGUAACAAACAUGCAUAAACCAUUUCUCGAAGUAUGUGUCCGGAUAGGCCAAAGUCUCGAUAGUUAGCUCUAGGUCUUCCAGUCAAAAAACAACGUCGAUGAAGACGUAUAGGUGCACUAUUACGUGGUGGGGAUUGCAAUUUUCCAUGAAUUUCCCAUUUUUCACUCAACGAUGAAACUUUGCUUAUUUUUUCUUUUGAGGAUCGGCGAAUCAAAUGAUAUUUCUGUUCCAAAUUUUUCCGCUUGUUCUCCCUCUGAAUCAAACUUUUUCUUGCCAUAAUGUUCAGUUCCUAUUAUUAUCAAUGAUACAGUUCGGAUCCUAGAUGUAAAAAUAUAAGAAGGCGUAUCCUCCCCCUCCAUCGAAACAAAUGAAAUUGUUGCUGAUACAGUACAUAAAAAAACAAUAAAUAACUAAAUUAACCAAAUUUUUCUGAUGUGGAGGCAAUCAAGAAAGCUGCAUAAGUGAAUAUAUAACCCAUGGAAAAGUGGGCUAAUCCAACCAAUCUUGCUUGUACAAUGGAAAGAGCCACUGGCUUAUCUCUCCAUCGAAUCAAAUUAGCCAUAUAUAUAUAUAUAUAUAUAUAUAUAUAUAUAUACAGUUGAGCUAGAAUACUAUCGGUAGCAAACGGGCUCCAUUGCCACCCAUUUGUUUUCAAUGAUGGAGCCUCCAAAUCGACAAUCGGCACCAUUGAAUAUGAUUUAUACCACUUGAAGUGUUUACAAAUCAAAUUUCAAAUCUUUUCGACAUCAUUUGCCUAAUGAUCAAAGGGUUUCAAAAUUUGUAAUUUUGAUGGUCGAUAUGAGGCGUUUUUUCGUUUAACGGUGUAAAGAUAUUCAAAUUAAUUGAAUUUUUGUUCGAAAAUUCUUUAAACUAUUUAAAAUAAGAUCUAUACCCUUGAUCUUGAUUACAAGACUCCUAUCAUCAGUUUUUAAAGAAUAUUCAUUUUCAGCCGUUUAUUUUUGUGUCUACUUAAUGGAUAAGAGAACAAUAUCGAAAAUGUAUGAAAUUUGAUUUUGAUGAUGAGAGGCUAGUAUACUAUCGGUAGCACGGAGGCCUUCAUGCUACCAAAUUGUUUUUGAUGAUGUGGCUUCGAAAUCGACGAUCGGCUUCGUUAGAAUUGAUCUACACCAUUAAAACUAUUUGGAAACUAAAUUUCAUAAUAUUUCGAUAUCAUUUGGCUAGUGAUCAAAAGGUCCCAAAAUUGAUAAUUUUAAUGGUAGAUGUGAUGCGUUUGUGAAUUUAACGGUGUAAAACAAUUCAAAUCUGAUAAAAUUUUUGUAGAAAAUUCUUUUCACUAUUUAGAGUAAGAUCAGUAUAUCUGAUCUUAAAUUUAAGUCUUUUAUCAUCAUUUUUUAUGAGAUUUUUAUUUUCAAUCGUUCAUUUUUGGACAACUCGUUUGAUAGAUAAAUGAUGUCGAAAAAUUAUGAAAUUUAGUUUCUAAAUAGUUUUAAUGGUGUAGAUCAAGUUUAACGGAGCCGAUCGUCGAUUUGGAAGCCACAUCAUCGAAAAUAACUUGGUAGCACGGAGGCCUCCGUGCUACCGAUAGUAUACCAGCCUUGCUCUAUAUAUAUAUAUAGGGUCCGGCUACUAUACUAUUAUGAGUACGAUCGCCCUCGUACUCAUAAGUUGUUUUCGAUAAUAGAGCUUCCGAAUCGACGAUCCACACCGUUAAACGUUAUUUACAGCAUUUAAAACUUCUAGAAAUCAAAUUUUAUAAUUUUUUGACAUCAUUUACCUUACGAUCAAGAAGUCACAAAUUUGACAAUUUUUAACGGCCGGUAUGAGAUACUUGCUAGUUUAACAAUGCAAAAGAAUCGGAAUUUGUUGAAUUUUUGAUAGAAAAUUCUAUUCACUACAUAGAUAAAGAUCAAUAACUCCGAUCUUGAAUUGAAGAUCCGAUUCAUCUGCCUUUUUUUGAACGUGUUUGAAUUUAUACCAGUUCAAUUUAUGCACUUGAUAGACCUUUAUAUAUUCAAAAUAACGAAAUUUAUUUUCAAGAAGUUUCAAAUACCUAGAAUCAUUAAUAAAGUGAUGUCGAUCGAAUGCGCCAUCAUCCGAAAACAACUUAUGAGUAAGGGCUCAAUACUCAUAAUUAAUAUACCAGGCAAUAUAUAAUAUAUAUAUAAUAUAUAAUAUAUACUUAUAUAUAUAUAUAUAGCUAGCUCAAUAACUAUAAUAGCACCAAUUCUUGUGCUACCCAAGUUUUUGUCACAUAUGAGAUUAAAGAUUACUUACGAAUGGGCCCUCCUAGGUUAGUGGUUGGCUGUUUAAUAGAAAUAUCUAACGUUGAAAACUAUCAAAAGGGUAAUCUAAAUGUGGAAAACUGGAGCACAAAGUGGUUCGCAAAUAGCAUAGUAACCUGACAAUAUAUAUAUACUAUAUAAAUAUAUAUAUUACAUAAUAUAUAAAUACUAUAUAUAGUAUAUAUAAGUCACUCACUAUACUAUUAUGAGUAUGAUCGUCCUCGUACUCAUAAGUUGUUUUCGAUGAUAGAGCUUCCAAAUCGACAAUCCACCCCGUUAAACGUUAGUUACAGCAUUUAAAACUUCUAUAAAUCAAAUUUUAUAAUUUUUCGACAUUAUUUAUCUUAUGAUCAAGAGGUCACAAAUUUGACAAUUUUUAACGGUCGGUAUGGGAUACUUGCUAGUUUAACAGUGUAAAAGAAUCAAAAUUUGUUGAAUUUUUGAUAGAAAAUUCUAUUCACUACAUAGAUGAAGAUCAAUAACUCCGAUCUUGAAUUGAAGGAUCCGAUCCUCCUUUUUUACGACGUCGUUUGAUUUUGACUAUUCAUUUUAUGCCCACUUGAUGGACUUUAUUAUGAUUUCGAAAAUUUACGAAAUUUAUUUUCUAAAAGUUUCAAAUACACUAGAUUAUAUUUAACGAAGUGGAUCGUCGAUUCGGAAGCUCCAUCAUUGAAAACAACUUAUGAGUACGAGGGCUCCAAUACUUAUAAUAGUAUAGUAGCCACAGCCUAUAUAUAUAUAUAUAUAUAUAUAUAUAUAUAUAUAUGAUACGGCUCUUAUGCUUUAGAAAGUUAGAAAGUAUGGUUGCCUAUGUGCUUAUAAGUUGUUUUCGAUGAUGGGACAUCCAAUUCUACGAUUGAUUUUGUUAGAUAUAAUCGACGCUAUUAAAAUUAUUUAGAAAUCAAAUUUUAUAAUUUUUCGACAUUAUUUGUUAAGUGAUCAACAUGUCUCAAAAUUGACCAUUUUAUUGAACAAUGCGGCACUUUUGUUAGUUCAAUGGUGUAGAACGAUCUAAAUUAUAUAAAAUUUUAAUAGAUUAUUCUACUUAUCAUGAAGAGCUAUAUCAAUACGUUUGAUUUAAAAGUUGAAUCCUUUAUCAUUAUUUUUUAUUUGAUUUUUAUUUUCAGCCGCUCAUUUUGAGGCUGAACUUCGUUCACUCGCAAACGAGAUUAAAAAAAUUAUAAAGUUUUAUUUUUGGAUAGUUCAAACACUGUAAAUCAUGUCUGACAGAACCGAUCGCCGAUUUCGGACGUCCCAGCAUCCAAAACAGAACUAUCAAGCACGGAGGUCUCUGUAUUUCUUUUGCUAAUUCGUAUUGAAGGGUGAUAUUAAAUCGGUCUAUUUUCGGCAUCAUAUACAUAUUCUAAAGUGGAUGGCAUAGAAAACUUGACAUGUUUUAGGGCCAUGCUUAACAUCAGGGGUCUCAGGAAUAAACUGUUCUUGGUUAUUCUUUGUUAUAGAUACAGUUCUUGAGAUAAUUGUUGAGAUACAUAGGAAGAAGAACAAUUUUUUGUUUACAUGAAAAUUGAAUUUUUUCAAAAAUAGAAAAAUAGCGUUUGGAUAGUGAGAUUUGAAUAAUGAGAAUAAGAAUUACUAUAGUUUGAAAAUGAUAAUAUUUUAGAAAUAUGAAUUAAAUAAUAAUUUAAUUUAUUAUUUACUUAACUAAUUAAUCAUGAAUAUUGCUAGAUAAUCAUAAAUGUUAAUUAAUAAAUUAAUUAACAAUGAAUACUGUUAAUUAAUAAUUUAGUUAACCACAAGUAAUUUAAUAAUUAAUAAAUUAAUAAAUUAAUUAUUUAAUAGUUAGAUAAUUAGUUGAGAAAAUAAUUAGAUUAAUCAAAAUAUUAAUUAGUUAAUCAAAGUAAAUAUUAGUUAUUGUAUAAAUACAAUAAAUAAUUAAUUUUUUAUUAGCUAAUUAAUUAUAAAUAAUAAACUAAUUGAUCAAAUAGUUAAUUAUUAUUUCACCAACAAACCACUCAACCCUCCCUGAUAUCAUACUAUUAAUAGUGUAUAUAUAUAUAGUGUAGAGCUACUAUGCUAUCAGAAGCAUAGAGAGUUUUAUGUUUUCGACUUUUUGACCCAUAGAUCAAAAAUUAUACAGUUGGGAUGAUUGCGGUCUCCCCUAGGAUUGAGUAGUACCCCUAGGGUUGAGUGGUCCCCAUAGGGUAAUAGUAUUAAUCUAAAUGUUAGAAAUGAUCAAAGGGGUUGAUCUAAAGGCCAAAAAGUCGGAAGCACUAAAUCCUUUAUACUUUUGAUAGCAUAGUAGCUCUACUAUAUAUAUAUAUAUAGAGAAAGAGAGAGAGAGAGAGAGAGGAGAGAGAGAGAGAGAUGAUUAAUAGAGAGUUGAGCUGGACUACUAUCGGUAGCUAACGGGCUCUAUUGCCACUCUUUUAUUUUCGAUGAUCGAGUCUCCAAAUCGACGAUCGAUACCGUUGAACAUGGUCUAUACCACUUAAAGCACCUAGAAAUCAAAUUUUAUACUUUUUCGAUAUCGUUUUCUUGUCUAUCAAGUGGACACAAAAAUGAACUGCUGAAAAUGAAUAUACUUUAAAAAGUGAUGAUAGGAGUUUUGUAAUCAAGAUCAAGAGUAUAGAUCUUGUUUUAAAUAGUUUAAAGAAUUUUCUAAUCAAAAUUCAAUUGUUUUGGAUAUUUUUAUGCCGUUAAAUAAGAAACGUCUCAUAUUAAUCGUUAAAAUUAUAAAUUUUAAAACCUUUUGAUCGUUAGGCUAAUGAUAUCGAAAAGAUUUGAAAUUUGGUUUCUAGAUAUUUUAAGUGGUAUAGAUCACGUUCAAAAGUGUCAAUCGCAUAUAAUAUGUUCGUUGCAUAUCAUCUCAUCACCCCACAUCGAUAUCAAUAUCGUAGUACCAGCUGCCUGCUCCUCUCUUAUGUCACGCUCUGGAUUAUAGCGGAAGUUCGUGUUGCGUCAACAGACUCGCCGCAUGCACAAGGAUAUACUUUAUAUAUACGAAGCGUCAACAAAAUAUGUUAAAAAAAUUUAACUAAAUCCAGAAAUAACAGGUAUCAGAGUAAAAUCAAAACUAUAUACUAUAGCAACAAUAUAGAUAUACAAUCAUCAUCACACUAAUUAUCAAAAUGAUACAACAUUUCUUGCCACUCCAAAUCUCAAAAUACUGUACACGCUGUAUUCUUACCUCAAUCAAUCUAGUGUUGAAGGUUUUGAAAUAAAAUAUUAAUAGUUACUAUUACUAGCGUGUAGACAUCAUAAGUUCUAAUCAGAAAUAUUUUUGCACUCGAUGUGGGACUAUUGGGGCGUUACAAACUCGCCCUGUUUAAACCCUAACAUUCAAGUUAGGUCCAAAUCAAAUCACAGAUGUAGACCAGAAUUACCAGGUAAUGUGAGGUUCUUGAGGUGGGGUUUAAACCAGAUCACAGAUGUGGAUCAGAAUUAUCAGAUGAUGUGAGAUUCUUAAGGUGGCUCCUACUGGUUCAAAAGGUGGCUUCCACCAAAUCCGUUGGUGUAGCACUUUGCCCCGCAUAGCACUUAACUCUCACACUUCCGACUAGUACCGAAAAAUACACGUGCGCGCACUUGACUCGUUCGCUCGUUACGAAGAAACGAAGCCUUUUUUUUUCCCUAACUGCCUAAUCUCUCAACCUCCUCUCUCUCUAAAGCCAACUAAAGAAUGAUAAGGGUAGACUCCACCUAAAUAAAAGGCAAAAUGUCUUUAAGCCCCUCAAAUAGCAACUAUUUCAAUCUUAGUCUCCCACGAAUUAAAUUUUAAAUUUUUGAGUCUGUUUUUGCGUCUAUUUCGCGCCAAAAUGUUGACUUUGGGACAAGAUGGUGCUAAAAAAUAUUAGUACGUGGAGAGGCGUUAUUAUAAACAAUUCAGUUAUUAUAUCAAUAAAAGUACACAUUAAUAUUCAUAAUCAGGUAAAUAUACUAUUUAAUAUUUUAUUUUUUAAUAAUAUUUUAAUUUAUUUAACAGGAUUAUUAUUUAGCAAUGAAUUUUAUCAGUAAAAUUGUGCUUAAUCCACCUAUCCAAAAACUAAAGAAAUAAAAUUAGGGUAACUUAUGUGAAUUCUUAUUAAUUUUUUAUUUUUUAUUAAUUUUAUAUAUUUAUAAAAAUUUUUAUUAAUUGGUUUUUUAUACGACGUGAAAUUAAAUAUUUUUAAUUGACAAACGGAAUUCUAGAUGGAAUAAAAAAAUAUUUUAUAUAUAUUGAAAAAAAAUUAACUAAAGACAAAUUAGGUUUGAAAAAUAAAUUGGUUUAAAAAUAUCUAUCAAAUUAACAAUUGUUUAAUUUCAAAUAAUAGAAUGAAAAUUAAAUUAAAAUUAUAAGUUUAAUCAUAAAUUUAAAUCUAAAUUCAAACUUUUUAUUUAAUUUUUAAAAUUAAAUUUAAAUUUUAAGUUUUGGAUAAAUAUUAGUUUUAAAUUUUAAGUUUAAAGACAAAUAUUUAUGGUGUAACUUAAUUAGAAACAUACUUUGAAACAAAUCAAAUUUAGAAAAUAAAUCAAUUGAAAAAUAAACUCUGUUACUAAUAAUCUUUUAAAUUAAAAAUAUAGAUUCAUUAUUUAUUUUAAUUUAAAAUUUAUAUUCAAAUUUAAUUUAAUAUGCAAAUGUCAUUGGCUCAUUGCACUGAUUUUUAACUUGUGGCCAAAAAAAAAAAAAAAAAUCUUAGGAAGCCCAAAUUGUACAGUUUGGGCCCACUUGGGACGAGCCUUAUUCAAGUGGUUGCUUAUGAACGGUCUAGAUCUAACACUGUGACGUGUACAUCUAAAUCCUGGACGUCCGUUGUGUAAUGCUACACGGACCCCAAAAGUACACCAAAAUAUAGGCGUUGAGUUUGUUUGCACACGUGGCAGCUUUUCAAGUGAGCUGGACAAAUUUAACCCAAUCGUUAGAUGCCACAUCAGCACAUCUGACUCACUGGUGUUUAGUGUUUCAUACGUUCUUAGGUGGGCAUAGCAAUCGUUUUGGAUAGGCCUUAAACUUGUACGUGCAUCUUACACUUUAGUCCCUAACUAUCAAAAACUUAUUUUUAUAUAAUAAUAUAAUAAUUUUAUUGCUCAUUUUAAAAUAGGAAAAACUUCAAAUAUCAUUCCUGUAGUUUCGCACUUUUUUAAUUUAGUAUCAUGUGAUUUAAAGUAUAUCAAUUUAGUGCCUCAUGAUUUCAUAUUAUCUUUUUAUUAUUCCUUUCACUAAUUUUUUUUAUUAAAUCAGUGACAAAGUUAAAACUAAAAGGUACUAAAGUGAAUAUUCGAUAAACCUAGGUAGGGUAUCUGAAGUUUUUUGUAUAUAAUUUAACGAAAUGUCAACGGAGGAACUGACGAAAAGAGAAAAAUGAAACCACAUGGUAUUAAAUUGAUACACUUUAAACCACAAGGUACUAAAGUGAGAAAGUGCAAAACCAAAAUGAUGCAAGUCUUGGAUAAGAAUCUACAACGCACUAGAACGCCUUUGUUGAUCCUUUACUCCGACAGCAUCUAGGGUUCCUUGAACAAUGUGACAUCUCACACCGGGUAAAUCCUUCGGAUUCCAGCAUCGAAUAGAUCGGCGGAUAAGAAUAUUUGUCCGGUAGCCGAAAGCAUUACUAGCUUACGCUCUGACCCGAGUAGCAUGGGGCACGUAGAUUCCCGUGUGAAUCAGUAAGGACUACCUUGCAAGGCUAAAUGCUCCUCGGUGACCGAUAGCGAAGUAGUACCGUGAGGGAAAGGUGAAAAGAACCCCCAUCGGGGAGUGAAAUAGAACAUGAAACCGCGGGAUCAUUUACCAUAUCAUAUAAAGAAAAGAAAAAGUCAAAGAAAAGAUGCCUCGAAGAUAAGAAGUAAAAAAAAUCCAGAAUCUCUUCUUUGUGAUGAUAAUGCCAAAAAAUAUCAAGUUGGCUCAUCUGUCUUUCUUUAUGAAGCUGAUUUAUUCAUUAGUAAAGCCGAAGCCAAUAGGAGUACUAUUGUGAAAAAGUUAAGACCGCUCCAGGAUGUAGUUAUCUGAUAAACAAAGGUGUAGUACUGCUCGUAGUAGCGGUCCUUAUAUCUUGUAUUAACAAUCGAAAGAUGGUUGAAAGAAAAAAUCUCUGUUUGAUGGGGCUUCUUCCUAUACCUAUGAAUUCCAUUGGACCCAGAAAUGAGACAUUGGAGUAGCUGUUAAUACGAAUAACAGAAACUUUGUUAUAGCCAUUUCUGUACAUUCAAUGUACUCUAUGGAUAGAAAAAUACAUAGAGUUGAACACAGUAAAAUAAGAAAUUGAAAGAUUUCGUUAAAAUUGUUCAUUUGGAAAUUUCUCAAAUAUCAAAUUAACUAUCGAGCCGUGAAAAAGAUUCAACAAAAGACAGAAAAAAAUCCACUAUCUGUUUUACGUCAAGCAAUACGUGGAGUAACUCCCGAUAUAGCAGUAAAAGCAAGACGUGUAGGCGGAUCUGACAAAGGCUUUUUACUCUGUUCAAUACAUAAUGACUGAGGCCAACUUUGGUUGGUUAAUCCGAUCAGUUCAUCGAUGAUCAGUAAGUAUUAGUUCUCAUGAUGAUCUUGCACGUAUUUCGUGUGUAUCUCACAGGUGGAUUUAAAAUACUGCUGUUUUUAGUUUUGGAUCUUCCAAAUCAUUCCUGCAGUGGAUCUGGACCGAUUUUUUUUUUAUCCUUCGAUAAAAAGAUUCAUUCUCUUAACAACGGAUACCCAAUAUUUAGGGGAUCCCUUCCCCGAACCCAUAUGCAUUUCCGCGGGUCUUACUGUAACAAGUUUGUCUGGAAAUGGUUAGAAAGAGAAAUAUAUGCAGCAAUACAACAACGUAUUGGGUCUGAAUAUGCUGGGCCGUUGGGAAUUCUUCAAGCUAUAGCGGAUGGGACUAAACUACUUUUUAAAGAGGACCUCCUCCCAUCUCGAGGAGAUAUUCGUUUGUUUAGUGUGGGACCGUCUAUAGCGGUUAUAUCAAUUCUACUAAGUUAUUUAGUAAUUCAGGUGGUAUUUGAACUUUACCCUUUAAAAUAUUAGUUUAUGGUAAAAGAUAAGAAUUUUUUUUAGGAUAAAUUACAUUGUUGGUCAGAGAGUUUAUGACUCGCAAUCUAGCUCGUUGUUUGCGAACCAACUCGUGUUCGGUUCAAAACAAGCUCGAGAUCAAUUGCUCGUUUAAUAAGUGAGCUAAACACAAGCUGAAUUUUUUAGUUCGAAAUUUUAAUGAGCCGAACACAAGUUAAGAUCAGCUCGCUUCAUGUUUAGUUCAAUAUAUCUUGAAUAUAUAUUACAAUUUUUCACUAUUUGAAUUUUAAGCAAACUCAAAUACAAAGAAACUAUAUUUUGUAAAUUUUAAUUAUUAGCUUAAGAUUCUAAUUUUUAAUUUUCUUUCAACUUUUCAUACAGUAGUAGACCUGACAAUUUAACUUACUAUUCAUGAUUCGGUAUUUGUUUGGCUCGUUAAUAAACAAGCCGAAUAUGAGCUGAAUUUUUCAGCUUGACAUUUUAACGAGCCAGCUCGUGUUCAACUUCUUUAAUAAAUGUCGGUCCCAGCUCAUUUGUGUUUGGCUCUUUGACGGCCCUAAGUGGACUUACAGUGAAAUUUUGCCUAGGUUACCGAACUUUAAUUUAUUUCAAUAAAUUAUUAAAUUUUAAUCUUUCUUAAUUAUGUCACUUUUUUAUAUAACAUAUAUUUUUUUCCAAAUAAAAUGGUAAAGUAAUAAAUUAUACAACUACUACAUCACAUUUAAUUUAUAAUUUGGAGAUGAUAUUAUUGCCAUUUAAUUACUCCAUCAGUUUUUUAAAAUAAUAUAAUAGUCAAAUAAUAAUUAUUUUAAAAUAAUAUAUUAAUAAUUAAAAUGACUAGCAUGUUUUGUCAUGUCUUUUUUUUUAAUAAUUGAAAUUGAUGUCAAAGUUGAGUACUUGAUUGAAACAAAUUAAAGUUUAGUGGUGUAAUAAAAUUUCACUAAAAUUCAGGGGUCAAAUGUGUUAUUUACCCAUUUUUUAACAGUAAAAAAUUAUAUUAUUAUAUAUAUAUAUAUUUAAGAAUUUGGAAAAUGAAAUAUUAUAGUGAAAUGUGUAGGGACUAUCUUGUAAUAUUGGGUUUGUACAAGGCCCAUCCAUACACUUUAACCAAUAUAAAUAAUUAUAUAAAUUAAUGAGAAAUUCACUCGAAUCGUCUCUGAUCCCCUCUCUCUCUCUCUCUCUCUCUCUCUCUCUAAUGGCGGAAGAAACCCUAACCCGAACCCCGGAGUCCUCUCCCUCGCAUCCGGAGACGCGCGAUGCGGGGAUCGGCGAAUCUCAGGUGCGGUUUGAUCGAUGUGUACAUAUAAAUUUCGUAGCCGUUUCGGCGAUCUCACGCUAUCAGUUUUCGAUCUCUUGUUUGUGGAAUCGAUCGCGAAGUUAGGGUUCGUGCGUUGAUCUCAAUGCGCGCAUUUGUUUUCUGCCCUUUUUGUUGUUGUUGUUAAUUUGGUUUUACGAAGUCGAAUGCUCGUCUCUGAAAUGAUUUCGACCUAAUUACAAGUUGAUAAUUUUUGUUUUCCUGUAUCUCUAUUGUAGUAGUGAGUAAAUUGAUUGUUCAUACGCAACAUUAAAAAUGAUGGAUUUGUAUGGUUUUUGUUGUUCUGAUUAGAAAUGGUGGUGAUCAAAAUGUAGGAUUUUGAAAACCCUAGUCCCUGAUCAGUAAGUUGUCACCCAUGAAUUAUCAUCAAAACACCGCAAUAUAAGGGAUAACCUACCUACCCAGAAACUAAUCCAAAUCCGAUCUGGAAACCUGCAAAAGUUUACCUGGGCUGGUACUCCUAUCUCAAGCUGAAAAUUUGUUUGGGUUUCCCUCAAAAUUUGCUUGGCAUCAACACGAAGAGGGUUGAAUCAAAGAUUUGAGGCACAUGUAGUACUGCUUUCGUGAUGUUUUUUUUCCUAUUUUGUUAUAAUGAUAGUAUGUGAAAGUCCGAGAAACUAUUUGACUAAAUACGUUGAUCUAGAAUUCGCCAGGCUGGUUUGUAGUUUGAAUUGGAUCUGUCCUUAGUUGUAGCAGUUGUUAUCUGCAAUGCACGAAGAAGAGGUUGUGGGUUUAAGCUCUAUUGUGGGCGCUAGCGAAAAAUUGAAAAUAUUAAAAAUAAAAAUCAUGAUCCACAAUAGUGUACUUAGAUGCUUUCCUUUAGCCUUCUUGUUUUCUACCUUUCGAUUUAUUGUUUUAUGUGGUUACCCAGGCAACAAAUAUGUUGCGCUCCCAACAAUCACCAACUGCUGCGUACGAGAUGUUUUCUGCCAUGUACCCCCCAUUCUUACCAGGAGUUCCUCCUUUUCUAAAUCAAGAAGAGAAUGGACAUGGUCAUGGAAUUUAUGCCAUUCCACAGCAUCCCUUUAUGGGGCCUAUGGGUGGCUAUCCUCCAGGUGCUCUUAUUCCACUGAAGUAUAAAAUCCCCACGUAAGUUUUCCGAAUCUUCAUCAUUUCAUCAUGUUUCUGGUUAUUGUGGUGGACAGUAUCUUUUAUUGAUACUCAUAUUGUAACUCAGCAUUUAUUUAUGCUAAAUCUAGUCCAUCUUUCAUUUUUUCUUUUUUUUUCUUUUUUUUUUUCUUUGAAUGAUACUUCGUUGUAAUAGAAUCAGAUUCCCAUGAAAAGGUUAAAAAAUGGAUGAGUUAGGGCUAGUAACAGCAGGUUAAGAUACUGAUUGUUUUAGCUGAUUUUAGAAUUUUGGGAGAACGACCCAACAUAAUAGUAUUUGUGAUUUAUGGUAGGGAAAUAUUGAGUAUUUAUUUUAAUUGCUUUUUUUAAUUAAUUAGAGAAUAUAUUUCGCGAUCUAGUAGUAGAAAUUUGGAAUUUUUAUUGGAAAACAUCCCUAAAAAUCAGGGAUAUUUUUUCUAACAGCAACUUUAGAAUUAGGGCAUUAUUUCAUAUAGAUAAGACCUAUUGGGUCUAUACUCUAUUGUAGCAUAAUGUGCCAGAUGAAUAAAACUUCGAAAGCAGAGCGGUCAAGCUCCUAUUGCCUCUUCUUCAUUCGCUAGUGAGCUGAAUGAGAUAUAACAAAAUGGCAAGAUAUACCAGUGCUAUCAGUUUCAAUUUUGUUGCCAUGUCUAUCACCUUGUCUUUGUCCUUUUUGUCCUGUUUGCUCUUGAUUAGUUCAUCUUGUAAUUCUCAGGAAAUUGCUUGCUUUAUGAGGUUUGUGUGUCUGCUAACCAUCAAUGUCAUCAUGUUGCUUGCAUCAUAAAUUUUCUCUUUAUGCUGCCUCAAAUAUUUGGUACAAUUUGUACUUACGUUAGCGAUGGCCCGUACUAUUAUUGAAAUGAAUCGUGGUGUGCUUCUCUGAGCCCAUGUGGAAACUUUUAUAUGCUUUUCACUAAGUUCUUUAUUGAGUCAAUCCACUGCUUUCUUUACCUUUCUAAUGCGUCUUUCUUUCUUCCUUUCCUUGUGUUCAAACAAAAGAUAGCACACACUGCAGGGUUUCUUUGAACAAAAUUUUCACCCUCUCUUAUCGACUAAUCAGCUGGUAGAUAUAUGAAAUAGUACCUUUUUGCCCACCAAAUAUUUCUGCCGAGUGCUGCUUGAGUAGAGUCAACAGAAGAAGCACUGCACUAACAGUUUUUUUAUUACAAUACGUCAUCAACUUCCUAUUGCAGUAGAAGUAGAAAGCUUCAUCUUGGAGCUUCUGCUUUGGGGCCGGAAGGCCCGUUUUAGCUUCGUGACUUAGCAAUAGCUUUAGGCUUGUUGUUAGACCCAACAUUUGGUUUUUGUAAGCUUUUUUUGGAGCACAAAGAUGUUCUAGAAGCCAACCAAAAAGGUGCGCAGAGUAUAGUACAUGAACUUAUGCAUCUCUUUGAUGUUUUCCCCCCUCCAUGUCAUCAUUUAUAGGAGGGAAAGUUCUGGAGCAGUAGCUGUUGAAGAGCAGCAGGGGCAGGGGCCUAGGCAGCCGCAGCAGCAGAAUGAUCAUCAAAGACAAGUCGUUGUGAGGAGAUUCCACUUUGCUUUUCAGCUCGACUUGGGACUUAUCAUAAAAUUGGCAGCUGUAGUGUUUUUGUUCAGCCAGGAAGGUUCAAAGCAGAAGUUUAUUCUCCUUGUGUUCUUCGCCUCGCUGGUUUAUCUGUGAGCACUACUUGAGCUUUUCUGCUUCAGUUUUUUUGUUUUUUUUAUUUCUUGUUGGAUGAGUUUGUGAGUCGAGUAAAAGUGACCCCUCUAAAAAAAAUUGUAGUUCUUGUCAGGGUAAAAUGCUCAUAUAGCCCUUAUAUAUUCACUACUUGCGACCUAUUUCCUAGAUGUUGGUAUUCUCCGAAACGAAAAAGAAAAAAUUGCCAACUUUUCAUCCAAACAAUUCAGUCCCAGAUUUUGCUACACUUUGCAAUUAUAUCCCUUCCCCUUUAGCCAUUCAAUAUGACCCUUUUUCCUGUGAGAAGGAUUACCUGUAGAGCAUGAGAAAGAACAGAUUUAAGUUUUUUCGGGCGUUAAACAGGGUUAAAAAAGUUCAGGUAUUAAUUGGGCAAGUGAAAAGUUCUGGGAUUAAGUCGCAAUAUUAAGAAAGUGCGAGGAUUAACUAUUCAUUUUACACUUGUCAUAGAUUGGGUUUUUUUUUUCCCACAUUCCGAGCCAUUUUGUAUUCUACAGUUAUCAGACUGGUGCUCUUGCGCCGUUACUUAGAUGGAUUCGCCGAGGCGUUGCACUUCCUCCACCUCAGCCACCUGUUCGGUUAGAUAACCGGAUUCCUCCUGAGCAUGACAACCGGAAUGAUGCUCCACCAGGUAUACUAUUAAAUUUUGGUUUGUUAAAACACUUCACAAGUUAGGGCCUGAUCGCAAUCGCCUGCGACUAAUAAUCGAGCUUACUACAGACCUCUUUGUCCGAUCAUGGCCAAUCUUUUAUUCAUUUGAGUCAAAUUUAAAUCUCCACAUCCAGUUUGGCCUUGCUUCCGGAGCAGCUUGUCUGUUCUGAGAAACUGCAGGCAGGAGUUUUGGCAAAGCAUAAAGUUUGGAGCUUUCGCUGUGCCGAGAAGCUGAGUAAGCUUCUGCAUUCAAAAGGAGAAGCUCUUUUUGAUGCUUUUGCUCCCACUGCACCUAGAGGCUGCUGGAAAAGAUCUGAAUGAAAAAGUUGUUUUGUGCUUCUCAGAGAGAGCGGCUCUAUUCAAACAGCAUUUCGGCACAAGCUUUAGCCUUGCGCGUUGUUGAGCAGGCUCAAAUCUCCUCAAUUUGGUGCAGUACGCUUGUGAUCACUUACGACACAAUCUUUUUAAACUGAAUUUCUCACAAUUAUACAUACUAAUUUGGUCCAGAGGAAAACCUCGAAGCCGAGAAUCAGAAUCAGAACCCGAACCCGAAUGAGAACCAGAACCAGAACACAGGAGACGAAGUACCACCGGCCGCGAACGAGAACCGGCCCGAACCCGAGAGGAGGAACGGACUAAAUUGGUGGGGUAUCGUGAGAGAGGUCCAGACGUUUGUUGUCGGCUUUGUCACUUCCCUUCUUCCAGGGUUUCAACACAAUGAUUAGUUGCCCUCUCUCUCUCUCUCUCUCUCUCUCUCUCUCUCUCUCUCUUCCCCAAGUGUUUUGUAAAAGUUAUAUAGAGAGACGUUCUCAAAGAGAAAUCGGAAUGUUCUGGUUCGAGAGUAAAAUGUUGUUUUCUUUUGUUUAUUAUGAAUGUAAACUCCGUAUUUUGUCAUCAAAUCACCCCUUUUCGUGGGUUUUAACCUAAAUUUGUGUAAUUUGUCAAAUAGGAUGUGAUUAUCGCUUUCGAUGUGAAUUUAUGUUAUCCUUUGCUUGUGAUUUGAGUUUCGCAGACACUUUGCCUCUUCGUCGUGAAAGUUUGGAUUCAAAUCUUUUAGUCCGCAGAUGAUGUUAACCAUCGAAAAACUGAGCUGUAGAAAGGAGAAGAAAAUUUGAAGCGUAUGCAAUUUGAAACUAAUCUUAUUCAUCAGCAGGGAUUGCAUUUGGUUUCUUGUUUUACACUUUAUGACCUCUCUCUCUGUCUCCUGGAUGUAGAGAUCAUUUGAUUUGUAGAGGGAGAAGCGGACGGCGUCGAGUCAUCGACCGUGCUCGUCAUCAUCUGUUGCAGAACUUGCGAAAAUGCUGCCGACUUCUGCUGUCGUGAGCCAUCUUUAUCUGUCGUCGACCGAUUCAGACCAUCGCUGCUGGCUGUUGCGACCACCUACGAGACUCCGGUUGGCACAGCCUGCGACCCCCGAACAUCGAGUUAGGGAUUCAACCCUCCAGUUUCGUUCGGUUCCGACACCGCGAGAUCAUGGGAGGGUGAUUUCAGUUUAUGCCCUUUCAGGUAAGUGCAGAUAGAGCUGCAUGCAUAGAUGCCUAAUCUUUUGUUUUGUUUUAGUUUUUACUAAAAUACAGUAGGCCUUCUAUUCAUAUCCACUUUUUUGACUUUUUUUUUUUUUCUGACUUUCAAAAAUUUAUAUUUACCUCUUCAAAGUUAAAAUAUAUUUUUAGAAAGUUACGGCGUUAGUGGAAAGAUCGAAAUGACCAAACUGUCCUUACUUAUUCUGCAGGAAAAAAAAAUAUUUGUUUAAUGUGAUUUCGUCAUUUUUAAGUAUCUGUUUAGUAUAUGUAGUCGAAUUUUAUAAGAAACAGAUAGAAUAGUAAUGAAAUCCUAACGGCAAGGAACUAAGUGCAUUAGUUUGAAAUUUUGAGGGGGCAAGAUUUAGAUUUUUAAAACUUAGAAAAGAAAAAGAAAAAAUUGAUAUUUAUAUAAAUUUUUCUGUAUUUUAGCUUUUUUUUUUUUUUGGUUAAUUCCUUUUACCUUGUUAUCAUCCUUUUUUCUUGGUUUAGUUGCUUAUAUUUGAAAAAUCGAUUUAUUUGCUAUUAAAUGCAUGCCGAAAAAUUCUUAAUUUAACCGAAAAAUCCAUAGUUAAGAGAGUGUCAAUAAAAAGAAAAAUAGUAGUUUAAAGCUGUGUAUUACAAAGUUGGUCGACAAAUUAUUAUUAUUGAGUUUUUAUUUUAUUGUUGGACACAAAUUAAGAACAUGGAAUAUGGACAUGUAAAAAGUUGGUUUCCACUGUGCCAAAACAAAAAUAUGCUAUAAUUGUACAAAUAGGGAAUGUCUCAAAAGUUUACAAAAGCAUUUAUAUGUAUUUUUUUUUGCUAAGUUACACUUUUUGUUCUCAAACUACAAAAUUUUUUACCAUAUAAUAACUUCUGAUUCAAACUUUUAAAAGUUUCGCGACAAGUCCCAUAAUGCGAUUUAGUUAACUAAAUGCUGGUACUUUACAGAUGUGGAAGUAAUGUAGUGGUGUUAUGAUUGAUGGCGUGAAAAUAACGUUAUUACCAUAUCAGCGACACAUCAGUAUUUAGUCAACUAAAUUAGACAGUGGGACUUGAUUAUAAUAAUUUUAAAAGUUUGAAUUAGAAAAUUAUAAUAAAUUAAAGUUUGAGAAUUGAAGUGUUACACGCUGCAUAUUUUGAGGACCCAAAGUGCAAUUUAACCUAUCUUUUUAAGAAAUUGUAAUAGCAAAUGCUCAAAUUUUAUAAAAGCAUUUAAACAAAUCUUUUCACAUUGUUUAUGGAUAGAUUUUUUUUUUCCCUUUUUUUUUUAUUAUAAUGCUUGGGAAGCACAAAUUUAGCCAAUAUAAUUUGUUCACACUUGUUGAAAAUCACUUCAGAUUAUUAGAAAUUAGUUCAAAAUAACAGCAGCUAAUGUUUCUUAACAAGGGAUUUAAUGGAUUCUGAGUUACAAUUUGCAAUUAACUUAGUAAUUUUUGUGAACCCAAAUAAGUGUUACUAUGAGAACAUUGAUCCUAAACUAUCUAAGAUUGAUUCAAUUACAAUAGCAAUAACUCAACAAAGGUUACAAUAACAUAAAUAGUAUAUUUUCAUUGUUUACUACCAAAUAAGUUGAGUAUAGGGAUCUUUUUGUUUUUUCUUGGGGAGAGAGAAAAAUAAUAAGCUAUCCACUUUAUUCAUCGGAGAAAUGAACAGAAGAAUUUUUGAGGCAAUUAUUAUCCAAAAGAUCGAUCUAACAGAAAGCAAACCCAUUAAAUUUUGAAGAUAGAGAUUAAACUCACAACCUCAUAGAACAAAGAUGCUCACUUGAAUUUAUAAGCACAGGAGACAUUUUGUACUAAAAAGUAUUGGAUACAUACAACUCUUGGUUAAGAACAUACAUAAAUCAUCUGGAGUUGAGCUCUUGUGGUUUAAAGCACAGGAGCAUUUGUGCUUGUGAUUUUUUAACCAUCGGAUCGUCUUAAGAUUCGUGCAGCAUUACUAACGGUGUAUCCCGUUAAGUUUUCUUUAUUAGUGCUGUACAGAUCUCGAAACGAUCGGAUAGUUAAAAAAUCACAAAUAUGUUGAGCUCGUGUGCUUUUAAAAACACAGUAGUAGCUCAACUCAACCAUCACUUAGGAGCUGCUUGCUUUCAUGCAAUUGCAAUUGCACUACCAUUAUAAUAUAUGCAAAUCCAAAUAUGAUAUUUGCAUGGUUUGAUGCAUAUGAAUUCAAUCAUUACAGUUGGAACUGUA
This 66475-nucleotide long non-coding RNA is filed under the name Ananas comosus (pineapple). RNAcentral's name for it is "long non-coding RNA (ACOM_LNC020274)". The stretch from base 56345 to 56836 matches the Rfam family "Bacterial large subunit ribosomal RNA", at positions 28 to 555 of the family's 2925-position model. Lineage: Eukaryota; Viridiplantae; Streptophyta; Magnoliopsida; Poales; Bromeliaceae. The record is from RNAcentral.